CUUCUUCUUUUUGAUGAUUUACGAUCUAUGCACUCCAUCUUCUUCUUCUCAUUAAUUUUAACUUUUUCUUUUGCAAUGAUUUAGGAAUAUGUUCUUUAAUUCUUAACACUCCACGUAAAAAUUCUUUUUCACAUAACAUAUAAUUCUUAAUAUGAGAGAUAAUCAAUCAAACCUUAGACAUAUAACUAAAUAUAGUAUAUUAAUUAUAUAACUUGGUUUCUAUGAAGAUAAGAAAUAAUCCUCUCAUAUACCAAGGCAAACCAUGCUUCAAAACCGAACUUAAAUUGUUGCAAGCGAGCACAAAACUCAAAAAACUCUCCAUUAGAUUACAAUUCAUUUUUUUUGUCUUUCAAAGUGAAGCAGACACUAUAGCUGAUUAGCGAAGAGCAAAGCUUUGUUCAAAAAGGCAACCACCAGCGACAAGACUAUCAAACUCUACCAUGAUAUGUGGCAUGGCUUGACUGUAUGUGAGUCUGAAGCUAACGUUAAUAUUGUGUUUGUCAACAUCAUACCACAAAUGUACGAUUUUCUCAAUUAGUAAAAGCUAAAUAACGUAAUCCCAAACAAAAUUCAUCGAUGUAAUAAUAAAAAUUUAUGUUUGUAAUCUGGGACAAGUUAUGGUUAAAUUUUUCCUAGAGACAUUAAAUAUGUUGUACUUAAAAUUGUUAAUGAAACUAGAAGAAUUCCUCUUUAAAAAAAUAAGAGGAAAAUUCACUUUGAAAUUUAUUAUAACUAGAUGUAAUUUUAUUGAAAUCAAUUGUUUUGAGGGUGGGUAUAAUAUCCGAACCCGAGCACCAGAUCCGAAUCCGAACCCGAAAUCUAAAAUAUCCAAACGGGCUCUAGACUCCCAAAUCUGAAAAUCAAAAACCGAAUCAGAUCUGAAUCUGAACAUACCCACAAUUUAAAUACAUAGUAAAUAUUUAUAUUUGUAAGAACCUAAGUGUUGAAAAUAUCGAAUAUUUUGGGGUAUUUAAUCUAAUUUUGAGUAAAUUUGGGUAAAAAAUGUUCAAAGUUAUUAGAUAUUUUGCGUAUUUUUCAAGUAGUUUUGAUAGAUUUAGUUAUAAAAAUUUAAUAUUUGAAAACGUCGAGUAAUCCGAAUCCGAAUCCGAACCCAAAAUAUCCGAUCCGAACCCGAUCCGAAUCCAAAAUUUAAAAAUAUUCGAACGGGUCCUAUACCUCUAAACCCAGAAAUCCGAAAUAUCUGACCCAAACCCGAACGCCCACCUCUACGUUUGACUAUCAAAAGAACCUCUCUAACGUUAAAUUUUAAUUAGUUUUAUAUCCCUUUUUUCUUAAAACAUUUUUUUGACGAGCUCUUCAACUUGCAAAUUUUUUUUUUUCUUUAUUGAGAUAUGCAAAUUAUAUUAGAUAAUUUUGCCAUUUUCACAGUUUAGAGACUUUUAACCAUAGAAUUUCAACUAAAUUUUUUAUAGUGAAUUUGAUCAAAGAUAAAUAAGUUUUGGAAGAUCUAAUAAUCAAAGUAUUUGAAACAAUAUAAGUAAAGAUGAGCAAUUCAUCUUAUUUGAAAUUGUAAGAUCAUACAAUCACUCUAAAUUCUCAUCCCACAUAAUCAAAGUUUCAUUUUAGAUGUAGAACAGUCAUUGUAACUUGUAAAGAUUCAUACAUUUGUCGAUUGAGACAUCAAAAAUCGGCUGGGCGAAGACAUCAAAACCAAUAUAAAGAGAAAGUAUAAUCGGUUAGAUAUGACAUCAAAGAGAGUGUAAUCAAAAAAACAUUAGCGUUAUAUUCAAUUAACUCGUUAUAAAGAAAAAUAUUUUUGAUUGAUUGAAAAAAGGCAAGGAAGUCAUCACAUGUAGGAUAUGUCUAGAACCAUAUAAAAUUUAUCAUAUUAUGAGGUAUAUACUUUGAGGUCAUAACUUUUGUGAUUUUUUUCUAGUUAGUUGGCUACAAAUGAAUGAUGUAUGUUCUUUAUGUCGCUACAAUUUAUCUUAAUCAUUUAUAUUAUAUUUUGUAUAUACUCCUAACAUGUUAUAUGAUAAUAUAUUAGUAUUGUUAUUUAACAUUAAUGUUUUGAUAGUUGGUUCAUGUUGAUAAAAAACAUAUAUAUGUUUUAAGUAGCUAGACAUGCAAAUGAAUUAUCAAAUUUUUAGAUCCAGCUGGAAUUUUGAUAAUUAAUAUGGAUAAGUAGUUUCACAUUUUAUUUGUUACAUAAACUCUUAUCAAAACCAUAUCGAAAAUGUAAUAAAAUAGGUUAAAGCCUCAUAUUAUCACAACUACAAUGGAUCAUAAUCUAGUUAAAAUAUUAACUUCGAAUUAUUUGAUUUUAUGAUGAGGUCAUUGAGAUCUCUAAAGUUGUCAAUGUCAUCUCUUUCGAAAAUUAUUUUUCUUGUGUCACAUGGUAUACCAUAAGUGAAGACUCCAGUGAUGUAUCUUCUAUAGUUAAUCCUAUCUCUCUUCCAUUGGGAGCUUAAUCUGGUAUGUCUUUUGAUCAAAAACAAAUCUACAUUACUCCUUCAAAAAAUUUGUUUUCAAUAAAUCUAAAAAGUAUGAGCCAAUAAAAAAAAUAUGAAAUGUGUGAAGAUAUCUAGAUUGGUUUCGGUCGGACCGAUAAAACCAGCAGUCUGAUCAAUAUGAAGAUCCACGAUAUAUGGAGAUCAGUUACAAGUUUAUAAAUAAGCCAUAUGAUUGAUAAAAAAAAAGGCAAAUGAAAAAGAAAAAAAAAACUUCUAGUUGAAAAAGAUACUAUAAUUUUACUUUAACAAUAUCAUUUUUUUCUAUAGAUAUCAAUGCUGGCAGAUAGAGACUAUAUUAUAAUUACAAAAUUUUCUAUAUAAAUAAAAAUUAACUAUGAGAAGUAAAAACUGCUAUAAUCUAAGUGAAUGUAAGAUAUCAUCUAAUUAUUAUAAAUUAUUUUUAUAUUAAAUAAAAAACUAAAAACAAUAUUGCGCAGUGUAGCGCGGAUAUCGAGUUAGUAUAAUUAAUAGUACCAUUGUAACGCCCGUGUUCCGAAAAAUAAUAAAAAAAUGGAUGUUUAUGUCGGGAAUUGAAGUAUAGUCGGUUCAAUUUCAACUGGUUUCUAAAAGGGUCGAUUUAUUAAUUAGACAAAAGAGGGGGUUUAAUUAAUUUUCGGUUAAGUAAGAUUCUGGUUUAAUCAAAUUAAACCAGGGAACCCUAUUUUUUCUCUAUAUCACGACACCAGCCUCCUCUUCUCCUGUGCCGUAACCUGCAAAGAAAAAGAGAGAAAGAGAGCUGGUUAGUGUGAGGAAAAGGGAGAGGUUGAAGUUUAGUGAAGGAAAAAGAGAGGCAGACAUGAUACGUUUUGGUAGAACAGAGUUUUGACAUAUCGAAUCGUUUCCAAAGGUAACGAAAAUUUCAGGGGUGGAUAAGACUUAUAUCUAAUUGUAGCCUUUUGCGGAUAUUGAUUUGACUCAAUAUUCUAAGAGUUAUCUCUGUUUUUGUGAGCUCUUCUGUUUCAAACGCGAUUUGGACCAGUGUGUGUUCAAAGAGAGAUUGCGAGCGAACCCUUGGUCUAAUCGUCACAAAAUUUUGAGGGUAGCUUCAGGACGUCUAGAAGAAGCUUUUCAACAGUGGGAUUUGAAAGUGGACGGUUGGAUCUCGUUUCGUGAUCCAAUCUUUUGUGAUCUUGUUUCGUGAUUUAAAACCCUAAAUCAAACUAAAACCACAAAUCAAACCCUAAAGAAACACUAACUCGAAUUUAAACCCUAAAUCAAAUUAAUAAAUCAAAUCGGCGAAUAAAGUACAAAGAUUAUAGAGAGAAAACACUUAACCUUUCAAAGAAUCUUCUGAUCUGAGAAUCGGAGAUCGGAGAAGAGACAAUCGGAGAUCGGAGAAGAGAGAAUCGGAGUAUGAAGUGAAUCAUAGAGGAGAGAAUCGGAGAAAGGAAGAGAAUCGGCGAAGGAAGAGAUCGGAGAAGAGAGAAUCGGCGAAGGAAGAGAUCGGAGAGAUUAGGAUUUUCUCGAUUUGCGGCUGGGUUUGAGCGAAGCUCAAACUAGGUCAUUCAUAUAUAUAGAUAUUUGACACGUCGCAAUUCCCUCGCAAUAUUUGCUAGUAUUUUGCGAGGAACCGCCAAAACAACCAAUAAAAACGAGGCAUACAUUGCGAGGGCAUUGCGAGGCUCCCUAGUAAAUCUCUCGCAAAGUCUUCAUUAGGGUUUUCAAAAAAUACAAAGACAUGCUUAAAUAUUAUUAAUCAUAUCUUAUUCAUUUUCUGAUUCAUUUAUUCUGAUUCAUUUUCCUAUUAUUUCUAGUAAGUUCCUCAGCAAAACAAAAACAUGACUAAAUAUUUUAAAUAAUUUAGGGUUUUGGGUAAAGAUUAAGGGUUUAGGGUAAUAAUUUAGGGUUUAGGGUAAAGAUUUGUGAGGGAAGUGCUACGAACGCCUUGCAAGUCCCUCGCAAACGCUUGAUUUAGGGUUUAGUUUUGCGAGGGAAUUACUAGUACUCCCUCGCAAAACCCUCGCAAAAGAGAAUCAAUUUGAAAAAAACAACGAAACACUACUAAAAAUCAUUCGGAUUCAUUUUUUUGAAUCAUUAGGAAUUAAUUAUCUACAUUAGGAUCAUUCAUUUUCCUCAAAUACAGAAAUGAUGUCUUAUGUUUUCCUAUUAUAUGAAUCAAUGUUUAUAACGUUUUCUAUUGAAAAAGUUAAUAUUGAUACCUAUCCAACCUUUUUUUUAUGCAUCACCAUAUAUUCAACUUGUCUGAUUAUAUGGUCUCUUGGAUUCACUUUUAUAAAUGAAAAUCAAAGAUCGCAAAACACUUGUACGUAUUUUAGGGUUUAGGGUAAAAAUUUCCAAGGUAUGUGCGGGUGAUUUGCGACGUAUUAAAUCGUUUCCGCAAAGUACUCGUAACCCCCUCGCAAAGUUGCGAGAGAAACUGUCCCUCGCAAGUUUUGCGAUGGAAGUGCGACACGCGUCCUUCUCGUAGUAAAUUACUUGAAAUGCUCUCGCAAAGGUGCGUGACAAAUCGACUGUUUUCUUGUAGUAUUUAUUUAAUUAAUUCUCGGUUUAGUAAAAUUCUGGUUUAAUUAAACUAAACCAGGGAACCCUAUUUUUUCUCUAUAUUACGACACCAGCCUCCUCUUCUCCUGUGUCGUGACCUGCAAAGAAAAAGAGAGAAAGAGAAAAGAGAGGCAGACAGGAUACGUUUUGGUAAAACAGAGUUUCAACAUAUCAAAUCGUUUCCAAAGGUAACGAAACUUUCAGGGAUUGUAAAUAAGACUUAUAUCCAGUUGUAGCCUUUUGGGGAUAUUGAUUUUAGUCAUUAUACUAAGAGUUAUUUUGUUUUCGUGAGCUAAUCUGUUUCAGACGCGAUUUGGACCAUUGUGUGUUCAAAGAGAGAUUUCGGGCGAAACCUUUGUCUGAUCGUCAGGAAAUUUUUAGGGUAGCUUCAGGACGUCUAGGAGAAGGCUUUCAAUAGUGGGAUUUGAAAGUGGAUGGUUAGAUCUCGUUUCGUGAUCCAAUCUUCCAGGCUGACAAUUAUGUGAUUUUUUCCAGAAUUUUACAGUUUGGUUUAAUUGAUGUUUUGAUUGUGGUGGUUAGCUAUAGGGUGAUUUAAGAUACUGUUGACGUGAGGAAGAAGUCAAUUGUGGUUGUGUGGUGUUGAGGUGAGUGCGUGACCAUGAGCUUAUCUAAGCUAUUGGGAUUAUGUGAUUGUUUGUUGCGAUGUGUAGGUUGGAUUUUUGAUGGAUCUAGAAUUGAAAUCCGUUAGAUGGUUGUGUUAUUGGAUGAUUUCAUUGGUUUGGUUUGUUUUCAUGAAUUAGGUGUUGAUUUGUGAUCUUAGUUGCUUGUGUAUAUAACUCGUACAUGAGAGGAUCGCCUCACUAACUAUUUAUUGAAAUACGUAUGCAUCUCUUUUCUUGGUGCAGGUAAAGAUAAAGUGUGAUCGUAGAAUCAUGGCGAGGAGAGGAGGAUGAUCUAGGGUCUUGUUGGUGUUAGUUUAUUGUUUUAGUAUGAUGGAAUUUUGGAUUUAGAAGUUGUUAGAAUUGUUAGAUAAUUUGCUGGUUUAUGUUGGUUAAAUUAUAAUAAGUUGAAUUUGGAUUUUUGAUAUUAGUUGUGUUGGUUUUCGCAUGAUUUUUAAUUGGAAAAAUUAAUUAAUAUUUAUGGAGAUAUUAGUUAAUAAAUUUUUUUAAAAAAAACGGGUCCGGUUGUUUCAACCAUUGUAUGCUUUUUUUUGUUAAAAUUUUAGGUACAUAAGAAAAUAAUUUUUCUAUAUAUGUACUGUUAGUAACUAACAAAACUAAAGUGAAAUUAAAUAAUUAAUAGAAAUAAAAAUUGAUCAAAAUAUAUUUUAAUAAUCAACUCAUCUGUCAAAUGUAUACUUUAUUUCCUUGUUUGAAAAAUUGCUAGGCGCUAGUCGGACGUUCGGUAUGGACCUAACUAUUAAUCGGAAAAUCGGAUUAAAAUUGACGAUUAAUCGGGGACUAGUUUUAGAAUUAUUUUAAUAUUUUAAAAAUAUAUUAAUAAAAUAUUAUUUUCAAAAUUGCAGUAAACACAUAAAAAUAUAUUUUAAGGUAAAUUUUUAUGAUUUUUUAUUAAAAAUUAUGAUUUUUAUUAAAAAUUUGAACAUAAAUUAUUGUAAAAUAUCACAAACUUCUAAUUCAAAUGCUGGACUAACAAAAAAAAAAGUUGUUUUAUAGUUGUAAUAAAAAAAAAUCGGGAUAUGAAAGAAUAGACGGAAAAUAAUCGGAUUAGGUAGGAAUUAAUCGGAUAAAGCGGAGAGUAAUCGGAUGACUGAUUUUUUUUAGGGAUUAGUCAUUAGUCGAGGCGGAGAGGGUGGACCUAACGAUUAAGCAGGGAGUAAUCAGACCAAAUGGAGAUUUUUAGAACUGGGCUUUAUUUACUCCUGGAUUUUCUCUAGUCAACGAUAAUCAUAUAUUUAGAGGGUGUUAGUUAAUGAUGGAGUUAAAGUCAAUUUUUUAAGGUUUAUAUUUGCUUUCUGAUAUUGUUUUUAAGAAUCUAUUUGUGUGGAUUUUAAAAUCUAUGCAGUAUAUCUUGGAUUUUGAUUCCAAUAAUUUACUCAUGAAACUCCAAAGAGGUUUCAUUUCAAAUGAUUUAAUAUACAAAGAUUUUACAAGUCUUUUAGUUUUGAAUAACACUGGAUUUUAAUGAAGUCUUUUAAAUCUUAGUUGAAUAACACCAAACUAUUAAAAUCUAAUGAAGUAUAAGAUUCAAGAACACCAGAUUUUAAAGUUAGAUUUAGAAUCAUUAGUUGAAUAUAACACUGGAUUAGUAUUGGAUUUCAAUUCUAUUAAAAUCCAUCAUUGAAUAACACCACCUUAAUAAUGUUGUAUUCAAAAUUAUAUUCACACGUAUUGGAUUAUGUGAUUUAGGCUACUUAAAACAUUUUUUUAACAAUAAGCCGACAAUAAAUAUAUUAAAGAACCGGCUCAUGAGUUUUGCAGUUCUUUGGUGAAUCAAAUGCACGAUCCUAUUGUACAGUAUGUAUAUGCUAAGCGUAGAUUAGUCAUUCAUUAAUCCCUAAUUCUCUUGUAACUCUCCUAUAGAUAUUGUAACAUUCACAUUGUAAUCAAUAAGACAUUCUCAUAAACCUAUACGGUAUCAGAGCUUCGAUUCUCUUAAAACAGUAGCCGUCACGUUUUCAAAUCUCAUUUUCAAAGCUUCUCUUCUUUCAAAUUGCAAUGGCGUCCUCUCCGGCUACUUACUCUGACACUGUGAUCAUGACGGCCGACUCACUUACCAUUCUCAAUGUCAAUAUGGAAAACGUUACCAAACUCACCGAUUUUAAUUUCCUCAUGUGGAGCCAUCAAGUCCACGCGAUACUCGAUGACCAUGGUCUCGCCGGUUAUGUCGAUGGCUCGCUCGUCGCACCACCGUGUACCAUCAUCACAGAUGGUACCACCAUAGUUAAUCGUGAGUUCACUCAAUGGAAGAGACAAUAUAAGCUCAUCUACGGUGCCUUACUUGGUGCUAUCUCCGUCAAUGUUCAGCCGAUUCUCUCUACGGUCGACACAUCCGCUGCGGCAUGGGAGAAGCUCUUGGAUACUUAUGCCAAACCUAGACGAAGUCAUAUUCUCCAACUGCGAUGACAAAUCAAACACUGGAAGAAAGGAAACAUGUUAAUCAGUGAGUACGUACGGGGCUUUACCACACGGUUUGAUCAGCUGGCGUUACUCGGUGCUCCUUAUACUCAUGAAGACCAGAUUGAUUUUGUUCUUGAGGGUCUCCCGGAUGACUACAAGUAGGUGCUGGAUCAGACUGCAAGUCGUGAGAAAGCUCCAUCAAUCACGGAGUUUCACGAGAAGUUGAUUAACCAUGAAUUUAAACUUCAAGCACAGGCGGCCAUUGAUUCUUAUUCUCUCCCGAUCACAGCAAAUGCCGUAAAUUAUCGCGGCAACGGUGGCAACAAGAACAACAAUGGCAACAACUAUCGUGGACAGCAACAACGAUUCAACAACAAGUCGAACCAAACAUGGCAACAAAACCAACUGUUCCGACCACACAAUGAUCAAUACUCGCGUUGAUACCAAGGUAAAUGUCAAAUUUGUGGAGUUUUUGGCCAUGGCGCUAGACGUUGUUCGCAGCUUCAGUUUUCCGGUGGUACAAUGUCCACUCCGAGUCAAUACUCACCAUCUCAUGUGCCUUGGAAACCUCGUGCCAACAUGGUUGCAGCAUCUUCAUCCUACAAUCCAAACCCGUGGAUCCUUCACAGUGGCGCAACACAUCAUCUCACCACCGAUUUGAACAACCUUGCUCUCCAUCAACCGUACAAUGGUGGAGAAGAGGUCACCAUUGAUGAUGGCUCAAGUCUUACCAUCUAGCAUACUUGUUCAUCAAACCUCUCUACCCUUACUCGUUCCCUAGCUUUAAAUGAUAUCGUAUACGUUCCCAAUAUUCACAAAAACCUUAUAUCCGUUUAUCGCUUGUGUAAUACUAAUAAAGUAUCUUCCUUAUGGUAUACUUGACAGGUAUAAAGUUUGAUUGGUAGCAAGAGGGUUUAAUCAACAAUAUGGUAUUGAUUAUGCGGAAACAUUCAGUCCGGUGGUGAAAUCAUUGACAAAACGGUUGGUACUACAGCUUGCGGUGUCACGGUCGUGGGUAAUUAAGCAAUUGGAUAACAACAAUGCCUUCUUGCAAGGAACACUAACCGACGAAAUAUAUGUUUCUCAACCUCCAGGCUUCGUUGAUAAGGAUCGACCGCAUUAUGUGUGCCAGUUAAAGAAGGCGCUUUAUGGCUUAAAACAAGCACCCCGGGCAUGGUACCAAGAACUCAAAACAUUUUUAUGCCUUGCUGGGUUUUACAAUUCUCUUCCCGAUACUUCUGUCUUCAUAUAUAUAUCAAAGGUGCUGAUAUUGUCUACAUCUUGGUAUAUGUGGAUGACAUAAUUGUCACGGGAUCGCGUCCAGCCUUGAUCUCCGGGUUCAUCGUCGGUUUAGCUAAUCGCUUCUCUCUCAAGGACCCGAAAGAUUUAUCUUAUUUUUUGGGUAUAGAAGCCACUCGGACGUCUCGUGGUCUCCAUCUAAUGCAGCGGAAGUAUCUCCUUGAUCUGUUGACGAAGACACACAUGCUAGAAGCCAAUCCGGUUUCGACUCCAAUGGCAGCAAAUCCUAAGCUGACUCUUGAUUCCGGAACGAUGCUUGACGACCCACAUGAGUACAGAACAGUACUUGGCCGCCUCCAAUAUUUGGCCUUCACGAGACCGGACAUUGCUUAUGUGGUGAACCGACUUUCUCAGUUUAUGCAUCGACCCACUGAUUUACACUGGCAAGCCGUCAAACAUUUAUUGCGCUAUCUCUCUGGUAUGCUAUCUCACGGUAUCUUCCUCCACGCAAAUUCACCUCUAUCUCUCCAUGCGUAUUCUGACACAGAUUGGGCUCGGGAUACUGAUGACUGGGUCUCUGCCAACGGUUAUAUCUUGUACCUUGGCAAGACUCCAAUUGUAUGGUCCUCAAAGAAACAAAAAGGGGUAGGUAGAUCAUCUACCGAAGCUGAAUACCGAGCGGUCGCUAAUACGGCCUCUGAGAUACGGUGGGUUUGCUCUGUGUUAAUUGAACUUGGUGUUACGCUACCUACUACACCGGUUGUUUAUUGUGACAAUAUAGGAGCCACGAAUCUCUGUGCUAAUCCCGUCUUUCACUCAAGAAUGAAACACUUAGCAUUGGAUUAACAUUUCAUUCGCGACAAUGUUCGGUCUGGAGCUUUGCGCGUCACACAUGUUUCUACGAACGAUCAACUCGCCGAUGCUCUUACGAAGCUGCUAGCUCGAUCUCGGUUUCAUGAACUGUUUGACAAGAUUGGAGUGACGAAACUCCCUCCAUCUUGAGGGGGCGUGUAGAGUAUGUAUAUGCUAAGGGUAGAUUAGCCAUUCAUUAAUCCCUAAUUCUCUUUUAACUCUCCUAUAUAUAUUGUAACAUUCACAUUGUAAUCAAUAAGACAUUCUCAUAAACCUAUACCUACCUCGUGAGCUUUGCAGAGAAACUCUAAAACAAAUAUAAUGUUCAUUAAGCUAUACCUACCUCGUGAGCUUUGCAGAGAAACUCUAAAACAAAUAUAAUGUUCAUUAAGCUAUUUAAUAGAAUUUUGGUACACAUCUUCUUCAUAACUCACUACUAAUGAAAGAUCCUACUCUUUAAAAUACAAGUUUACCUUCAAAAUGAACGAUAUGAUAAAGAUGGAUUUAAUCCGGUCGAAAUUAAUCUAGAUCUUUCAAAACUUUUCUACAACUUUUAAGACUUUCUUUAAUGUUGCAAGAUGUUCUCCAAAGUUCUACAAUGUUCCGGACAAUAGACAAAGAUAAAGAGAUUUGAAAUGGUGUGGAUCUCAUUUUCUCGACCUACUAAAGCAUACAACCUAAAAGAUUAAUCGGAUCGCGACAGUCGUAACCAGAAAAUUAAAAGUAUACUUGAGCUUAGUUAAAUAAUUAUUUAUCACGAUGAAAAAAAAAAAAGUGAAUAACAUAAACAGUGAAGACACAAUGAUUGAGACCGGGAGGAAUCUAGAAACAACCCAAUUGCUUAAUAUACAAGAAACAUAAUUGGAAAGCCACAUUGUUGCAAGAUAAUAUGGUACACAAGAAAAUUAUUUCAAAACAAAAUUUAGCAGUCUUCAACAGAAAAUCCCUUGCCAUUUUCCUUCUCUGCUGAGUCUUUACCCUUCGUUGGCUUAAACCACAAGGCACAUAUGAUAUAGACAACGAAGUUAAUUCCACUGAGAAUGACUAAAAGCCAAUAAAAGUAAUCGAGUCGGCCGUGGUUGAUGUUAUCAGCUAGCCAUCCUCCAUCAGUAGAAGUUGAAGUGACCCUCUUGACGAUUGAGACCAAGAAACUGCUGACAAAGAAACCUAGUGAUAGAGUGGUCAAGAAGAGUCCAGUGCUCAUUGUUUUCAUUCCUUUAGGUGAUUGGGUAAUGAAGAAAUCAAGUUGGCCAGUGUAAAUAAAAGCUUCCCCAGCUCCCACUAAGAAGAAUUGUGGAACAAGUAAGAACACACUUAUAGGCAAUGUUUUUUGUGAACUAGAUUUCGCAACCGAUAAACGCUUUUGCUCAGCUAUAGCUGCAGCUGCCAUUCCAGCGGUUGAUAAGACCAAUCCAAUAGCUAUUCUUUGUAGGCUAGAGAAACCUGAAAUGUUAAGGCAUGUUAAUAUAUAUAUAUAUAUAUAUAUGCAAAAAUAUAGAUAUAUGAAUGUUGUAUGCAUCUUAUGUCACCUGGUUUUCCUUUCCACUUCUUCCAAAAAGGCAUUAUGGCACGGUCAUAGACAGCUAGAGUUAUGAGAAUAGCCGCAACGAAAAACACGGUGAGGGAACCAGCUGGGAUCUUGAAGUUUCCAAUGUUACGUCUCAUAGUCGAAGCUUGCUCAACCGAGAAUGUAAUCAUUUGGGCAUAUGUUGUCCAGAAAAUUAUAGUUGUUGCCCAAAUAGGCAAAAGCCUAACCAUCAUUUUCACUUCCUCAACUUUGGUCACUGAGCUUAGCUUCCAAGGGUUUGGAAUUGCGACUCCAUCUAGGGUUUGUUCGAAAUCUCCUUCUGCAACUAUGGCUGCCUUAUCCAACAAGCUACACACGAGAUUUUAUAUAUAAGAUACAAAAUUUACUUCUUUUUCUAUGUGAAAAUUGAAUAGAGAAACUUACUGAAACUGAUCAGUAUGUUCGAUUCUUAUGGCCUCAGGAUUAUCUUCAUAAAGAUAAACAAUGCUUUGAGGUAGUUCCAUUUUCCUCUUCCUAAAUGCAGCCGCUAUGACCUGAAAGAUUUGCACAACGGGACUUCCUUGACUCUUUUUAUAACGGUAUCUCUUAGUCCCACACAAGAAUAUUACUAUAGCUAUAGCCAUAGAGACAGUGCAGAUUCCAUAAGCCCAAGAUCUCCCCACUUCAUCUUGCAUGUAAACUAAAACAGUCACAGCCAACAAUGUCCCCAUGCUAAUGAAGAAGAAGAACCUGCAUGUGCCAAUUAAGAUUAUAUUUUAAAAAGGAACACUAUAACAAUGUUACAAUGCCAUGAAAAUAAACUCUAAACCUAACCUGUUGAAGAAGAAAGCCAUGUGAGCUUUUUCUUUAGGAUCUUUGUCAUCAAACUGGUCAGACCCAAAUCCGGAGAUACUAGACUUAAGGCCACCAGUUCCAAGAGCUAUAAGGUAAAGCGAAAUAUAAAGAAUUGUCAUUUGGAAGCUCGUCGCGGGUAUGCAAGCUUCCCCAUGAUGGCAUGUUGGUGGACGUAGUUCCGGCAGCUUAGUUGCUACCGCUAGUGCACCAGUUCCCUGUAUACGAGACAUCAAAACCGUCUCAAACUAUUUUCAAGACCUUAGCAGAUUUUAUAGCAUACAUUUUGUUUGAUGUGUCUAAGUGAUUUUAUUUUAUUUUUAAUAGAGCUCUAAUUGAUAAUUUCCUUACAAAAACAAUUUUAGAACCGGAUAUCUUGGAGAAAAAUACAGGUUAUUCAUUCUCUUAGACGCAUCUACUACUAGAUGGUAAAACCAACUAGUGACAAUGACCUUUUUGGAGCUAUAUAUAAGCUAUUAGAUAGAGUCUUACCAGAGCUUGAAUGGUUGAGAAAAUAGCGAUGGUUUUGAAACGGCCGAGGAAGGAGUCAGCGAGAAAGCCGCCGAGCAGGCAAAGGAGGAAGGAAGUGCCCAUGAAGUCAGUGACAAUAUUGGCAGAAGUUGAACUUGGGAGAUGCAUUGUCUCCAUCAAAUAUGUUACCAAAUUCACUGCUAUUCCCAUUGUUGAUAGCCUCUCCACAACUUCUAUCCCUGCAAUAUAUAUUUUUCAUUUUUAGUCUGUCAACAUUUGUACAUCUUCUAAGUUAAUUUGUGAGUCCAUUUCAUACAUACAAGUAGAAUAAUCUUCAACUAAUGUUGUGUUAAUCCUUAUUUUCUUUUGUUAAUUCAGAAUCCAAAUCGAUUCUAAGUAGUAAAUGACUCAUGGUAAGGAAUCUGUAUAUUUUAGGAUUUAGAAAAUUAUAAUGUUUGAAAACCGCAUGAAAGUAGCCAUAAACUGAUAAAUAAGUUUUGUUGCAUGUCUAAAGGUAAAUUAAUACGAAAAAGAGACGUGAAGUGACUGAGACUCAAAACAUAUACGGUGUGACUGGAUGUUAUAAAUAGAGGAAAAGAAUUGGAAAGAAAAAUAAUUCUUCUCAAUUACUCUGUCAUUCCUCCAAUCAAGAAGAAUUUAUUCACCAACCAAUUCUUCUCAAUUCUUUUACUUUUCAGUAGAAACAACUAUAAAAUUUCCUCCCAUAAAUACAUGGUAUACAAAUUUCUUCUACUAUUUAUUUUUCUUUUCUUCUCAUUUCCUCUCUUAUUUUUCUUCUCUUUUCUUCUUAAACCACACCAGUCACACCCAUAGAGCUUUCAUUCUCCAACUAUUAUUUUAUUUAUUUUGGAAACAUGUUUAAAAUAUUUAUAAACAUAUAUAGAAUAUUUAUGAUAGGUUAUGGCUGUAAAAUUCAAUCUUUUUGUCAUUUUAAAAAUUAAGGAACUGAUAGUGAUGGAGAUAUAUGAUCAGUUUUAAUUUUUAAACUCAGAAAGCAACAAAAAUAAAAUUUGGAUUAUCUGGACUAAUUGUGUAAUUAAGACAACUGGUAGUUUCUGUAAGAGAAUAUUAAGGAACAAAACAAGGGUUUUGAGGUCGGCAUUUUAUGCUCUCGAAAGAUUAACGGAAAGAUCUUAGAGCAUGAUUAUUGGUAGUAUCUUAAAAAUAAAUCUUAGGAAUAUUUAAGUAAUAUAUUUGUAAAAGUGAUAGGUAAGAGAUAGUAUUUUGGGUUAAGAUUUUUGUGUGAUUAAUGGUAGGUUCUUAACAUGUGGUUCUUAGAAAAAAAAAUAUUAAUAUAAAAAUGAAAUUUAUAAUUAUAGAAAAUUUAAUAAUUUUUGCAAAUUAAAAAAAUUAAAACAUACAUGAGAUACAAUUUAUAACAUAAAUAAUAUAAAGCACAAAUGUUUUAAACUUAAUUUCUAGAAUAUUUUGUCCAUAUAUGCUCAGCUCGACCAAAUCUUUCUUCAAUCCUUUUUAAUUAAUCACAAUGUGACACCUUACAACAUCUUAAGUUAAGAAAAACAUCUUAACUUAGAUACAAAUCUUAGCUUUAAGAUGUUGGUUUGAUUAUUUUUAAUCAACUUUAAUCCUAAGAUUUGUCUUAAAAUGAUCUUAGUAAUUUAAUGAUUAAAAUUAAUUUCUAAAUAAGCUUUAAAACUAAGGUGCUUGCUUACCUAAGAAACAAAAACAUAGUUAAGAACCAAAUUUAUUACUUUAAUAUUUUUAAGAGCUAUUUUUAAGAUACCUUUAAUAAUUAUGCUCUAGACACGUGAAUACAGAUGCAAAAUCUAAUUUUCGUUUUUCUCUUUCUAAUCAAUAUUUCUUUUUGAGAAUGAUUAAACUUAUUAAAAUAUAUAUAUAUAUUAUGAUUGGAUAAGCGAGAUGGGGAGCCAUGUGGCGUGUCCCUUUUCUCUUUAUCUUUCUUUCAAUCAGCGAGAUUCAGAACAACGACAUUUCAUAUUUGUUAUAUACAAAUAUAUUUAUUUCAAUCAUAUCAUUCAUGUGUGAGUGUGACUGAUUUGAAAAUUGAGUCUCUUUUGUUCAUCAAUCAUCACCAUGUAUUCAGUAUUCACAAAUUAUACAACUUAUAUAUGGGAAAUCAAAACUUAUACGCAUGCCACCUUCUUGAUCAAAUUAACUACGUGUAAACAUAUUGUAUGUAUCCACUAAUGAUUACUCUGCGAAUAUGUGCACGACAGAUGUAUUUUCUUCAUUUACCGAAUAUUACAUAAUGGAAAAAUAUAUAGUCGUUAUGAAUGUCACAUGAAGUAAGAAAUAAAGAUUUUAGUUAAAAAUAAGUAAAAAGUAUGCGGUCAAAUAAAGAAGAAGAAGAAUUGUUCAUAUUUAGCUAGGACUUAUGUGAGUAAAUUUCACACAGAUACUUAUUGAUAAUGGCAUAUGUGUAUGUAAAUAUGUAAUACAUGUUGGACCAAAGAUAUGUAUAUGUAUAUAUAUAUAUAUAUAUAUAUAUAUGUAUAGGUAAAGUAGUAAAGAAGAAGACGAACCAAGAAUGAGAGCUGCAGUGAUCCAGCCACCGGUUUUUGAUUUGUCGGCGGGUCGGCCUUUGUAGUCUACGGCAUCAGCCACUGUCCAACUCCCUUUGCUCUCCUGAAAACAACCACAUCAAUCUAAAGUUGCCGAAUCUUAUAACCAAUAUAUAAUUUACAAGUAAGAAUAAUAAGAUUAUCCAAACCAUUUUCCUUCUAUAUCUUCAAAUAAUUAAUGCCUUGAUGAGAGUAUUCUUAGUUUCUUCUAAGUGUUUGCUCUUUGUUAGCCACAGAAGCAAAUAAUGAUGGAGAGGAAACUGCCUUUUUAUAGCCACAAAAUGAAUGAAAGAGAGCUAGCACCGACCUUCCACUAUAUGUGAUUUGGGACAUAUCGCAAAAACGUGAAGUCUUAGAGAUAGGUUCAUCACACUUUUUUUCCAACUUUAUAUCAUUUCUCAAUUUUAUUUUGGAAAUUAUUUUUUCCUCUUUUUUUUACAUUUUCACUUUUUUAUUACUAUUUUCUCAUUUGUUGUAAAUUUUCUCUUUUAUUAUGAUAACUUAUUUGUUUGACCCAAAGACACACGUACAGAUUACAGAACUCAUAUGGAUCAUGAAAAGAACACUUGCAUAUAUUUCCAUAAUAUAUUUGGCGAGAUCAAGUAAAGAUUCUCUACGAGGUUCAUUACUAUUAAGUUUCAGCUCUUCUUUUUUUACUUCUCCACUAACUGUUGAAAAACUGCACCAUAUAUAAAAUAUAUAUCUUUUUCCUAAAUAAGAAGAAUUGCAAUGAGAAACUAUAGUAGAAUAUCACAUAUGUUUUUCUCAAACUAAGAAGAAUGGCAAAGAGAAAAUAGUAGACAAUAAAGAUACUUUAACUAAAUAAAAACUUAUUUGAUUACCUGUAAUGAAUUUUGUAGAAACUAUUAUUAUUGGUUAAGAGGUGAGAUGGGUAGAGAGAAAAGUUUUAUAUUGUGCACGCGAACCGCCACUCAUUCUAACUCUCCAUGUGUUCGAGUGGGAAUAUUAGGAUGGUAUAUUGGUGUGGUUACUAUAUAUGGUCGGAAGGAAGCAAGGAGUGGAGUUGGUAUUUUGGUGACUUCCACGUCUUCAUGGUUCCUGGAAACCAUAUGUAGAGUUAGCACAUGACUACUCUACCUUCCUAUAAUCCUAUGUGAACAAGAAAGACGUCUCAUGUGGAAAGAUUUGCCCAAUUCAUUACCAAAGCAAGUCUGGGUACAUUUUUUCGUCAAGUACACCGCGAGAGUGAGGUCCGUCUCAAAUCUUCAUGUAGAUACAGUCCCUAGAGGGAAAAUGUCUUGUAGAUAGGAACAAAGACGUUGUAGUCAGGAAUAACAAUGGUUAAAGUUGUUUUGUUUUAGGAAUCUUCGACAUUCAAGUUUGUAACAAGACUGUGUGAUAUAGUUAGAAACUAAAAAGUUGAUUUUCGUGAAACCGAGUCGAAAGUGAUAGGUCUAUACGGCUUCCUCUACAAAACAAUUUUGGCGGUAACCGAGAGAAACGAGUUGAGGUAAAAUAAAAAACUUUUACGGUAAAAUAUAAACUCUUUGUAAAAUAGUAGAGGUAAAAUAAAAAUGAUAUUUACCUCAAAGUAGAGUAUACCUCAAAAGUAGUAAACAAUAUCAUUUUUAUAGAGUAUACCUGCUCUAAAGUAGUAAAGAAGUAUAACACACAUCGAAUUGGAUCGAUACUUUCUUUGUAAAAGAAAAUGUUUAUGAAAUUUGGUCUAAACCCUUUAUCAAACACGUUUGGAGCAUAAACCAUCAUAUUACUAGAUUUUAAAAGGCCAAGUCAAAUCUAGCAUGAACAAUUCCAAAUGAAGGAUUCCUUUACUAAUCUAUCUAUACACAUCUUUUAUCAAUAAUCAACUUAUUCUACCCCAUAAUCUAAUAGUGAGUUUACUCACUCAUGAUCAAAAUACAAACAAAAAAAAGCGAGAUAAAUGAAAGUAGAAACGUAAUGAAAAAAAGUAAAGAUCGAAAUAUGAUAAAAUAAUAUUUACUAAGUUUUGGAUGAAAUGAUGAGAUCGUCAUUCCAAAUAUAGUUAUAGUCUUGUUAGUCCCUCUUAAAUACUUAAACGAACUUAGAGGAAAAAAGUAUAAACAAAAUUAAAAGUAAAUGCAUCCAAAUGAGUAGAAAUAACGGGUACUAAACGAUAAGAACAAAGUAUAUCAAUUGACAUACUUCGUCUAAGUGUUUAAGAGGGACUAAAAAGACUUCAACUACAUUUGCUUGAAGUUGAAUUCAGACAUUUGCUUGUAUUCAGACAGAAAAAUGAAAACCAAGCCAAAUAAAAAGGCUCGGAGACGAGAACUCACAUUCAUAUUAAAGAUGGUGCUGUGAACGAGAUAUUUUUCCUACCCCUAAAAAUAUGCAAGCUUAACCAUAAUCAUCCCAAAUCAGAUUUUACUCUAAAUGCCGAGACCAAAAGAAACUCUCAAAAUCAAUCAAAUAUCAAUGUUAACAUUUAAUUUAGUUUGACGUGUAUUUUUGCCGUAAGAUUACCAAUCACGCAUACACAGCUUUGUGAAAAAGCUAAACAAACAAGAUAGUUAAUGCAAGUUACGGGGUUCACUAAAAAAAGAAAUAAAGAGAGACAAUAAUGUAUUCGAGGUCUUUUCGUGUGUUCUAUCCUUGUCGAACAUUUUUACUCCUUUUUUUGACCAAAAAAAAAUUUCCCUAUAAGCUAGAUAGACAUUAAGAACUUAAGUUUUGAUGGAAAUUUCUAAUCUUGUCGAACAUUUUUUCUCUUUCUAAGUCCCAAAACUAAAUUCCCUUUAAGCUAGAAAACAUUAAAUUCCCUUUUAUUGGUAUAUAGCUCAAAAGUUCUCCGGGUCGAAUUACCCAUUCAAUAUAUUCUUGUUUUGUUUGGCCUCAUUACUCUAUUGUGUGUCGAGAUGGAGUAAACUCUUCGUACGGGUUGCCCGGCGGUUUGUGACGUAGUAGGUGAUGGCAUGUCUAAACUUGAACUUUGGACACUCAAGUGUUGCUAUAGUAUUCAAGUCUUAUAGGGAUGUCGGCAUACGGGUUAAGUAUCCCAUUGUACUCUUUAUGACUCAUCAUGUCCUCUAGUCGCUGGGAGGUUGUCUUCCCGAAACAUUGGUUCAUGCCCUCACUACGGUCGUUUAACCUGAAUAGAAGUAUCAUGCUCUUAUUCUGGUUAUCUGUCGAGGUUGUUGAGUUGUUCGUUCAUGCACCGUCGUGUGAUUUGCAAGUGCAAAAUCACCUCUGUUGGGGUCGGAUUCCACCCGCGUUAAGUCCGAGCUAUGACAACGCCUCGGGACCUAUAACCAAAUCAGCUCGGGGAACUCUGACCAGACAGUUCAAGAUCCCGCACGGAUCGGUUCGGGCAUCCUCAUUGCCGGUUCGGGAUUACCAACCAACUUGGAUACCCGAGCCCGUCAAUCCAAUACCCGAGCCCGACUCGGAUAACCGAGCCCGUUCACAGUUCGGUCAACCGAGCCGAUUCUUGUUAACGUCUGAACGACCGAAUCCAUCCACGGUUCGGGUUCCUAAGCCCGUUUCUCCUACGAGUACCCGAGCCCGACAAAUAUUUCGGCUCGAGCAUAAUGUCAGAUUGUUUACCCGAGCCGAACACCAGGAGAUCUCUGAAUUACCCGAGGCAAGACCAUAAGUCACCCGAGGCGAGAUCAUCAACCACUUAAAGCGAAGACUUGGUGAAAUAUUCACCCUCAAAGUACCAUUUCCAAGCAAGGCAUCAUUUCCGAUAUACCCGGAAAUGAUAAGGGAGAAUCUAGAAGGAUCGACUCAAAUCAGGAAGUCUUCAAAAAACUCCGAAGAAUAAGGAAAUUAUCCUAAUCCGCGAUAUUCUGGCCGACUUCAAGAUAAAUGGAAAUCUUCCGAGAAUAUCGCUGGAGAGGCGGUUUAUCACCCCUAUAUAAAGAGAUUCAAGGCUCAAGCAAAAGGCAAGCAAUAUCGCUCUAGAAUUUACACUACGCAAAGCUCUCACAGCACUAACAUCUUUUUCUUUACGAUCAAACUCUUGUACGAUCAAAGUCAUCUUGUCCUUAAUAAUAUCAAGAACACCAUCUUUGGUAUCGAUUGAUUCUGUCGUUCUUCGAGAAUUCUCGCAAAUCGUAUCCCUAAAUUAAAACCCUAGACAAAUCUCGAUUGUGUUAGUUUCGACUUCCAUAGUUUGGCGCCGUCUAUGGGGAUACUUUAGAAUUCUCUUACCUUAAGACGCAGAACUCGAUUACCGAAAAGGACGAUGAACGAAGACGGUUGUCAGACACCACCAGCCGGAGGAGGGAACCCCAAUGCUCCGAACCCUCAAAAUCCUCAAGCCGAUCCGACGAUCAUAGCGACCCUAGCCGAACUGAAAGACCUGAUGGUUAAAUUCCAGAAGAAAGCUGACGACCAAGAGAAAGCUAACAAAACCUUGGCACAACGAGUCGACGAAAUUGCAACACGUGGGCAACCAAAAACCACGCAUUUCCAGACUCGGCCGCCACGAGCUCGGAGGGAUUUGCCUGGCAUCAACCCAACAAGACUCACGUUCGCGACACCAACCGACAACACUAGAGUCGCAACCUGAGCCGACCCUGCCAGACGCGAGAACCAAGAUGAUCCCACCGAGCCAGACGCAGUGGACUUGACGGACGAACCAGAUGAUUUGCAAGACGAGCGCACCCGAGCCGGAGCUAACUCCGCCGAGCGAACGGACCUUAUUGAUGACGAAGAAACUGAGGAAAACAUAAGGUGGGCCGAAGAAUCCGAAAGAGAAGACGAGCUGAGCAAGAUCCGAGCCUCCCUAGCCAAGGCGGAAGCUGAUAUGAAGCUCGUCAAAACCCAGAUACAUAGCGUUUCAUCCUCCGCACCGAACAUCGACCGAAUUUUGGAAGAAUCUCGGAAUACGCCUUUCACCAAAAGAAUUUCCGAAACGACGAUGUCCAAUCUGGGGAAGUUCAAAAUCGAUUCUUACAACGGAUCAACCGACCCGAAGUGCCACAUUAAAUUGUUCGUGAUAUCUGUGGUCCGAGCCAGGUUCAAGCCCAGGGAGAAGGAUGCAGGUCUAUGCUUACUAUUCGUGGAACACCUCAAAGGACCCGCAUUAGAGUGGUUUUCAAGAUUGGAACGAAACUCGAUUGACAGUUUCGACGAGCUGUCUACACUAUUCCUCAAGCAAUACUCCGUGCUCAUCGACCCCGGAACCUCCGACGCAGAUCUGUGGUCCCUAUCUCAACAGCCCACCGAGCCGUUGAGAGAUUUCCUCACAACCUUCAAAUCGACGCUAGGCAAGGUCGAAGGAAUUACAGAUGUAGCCGCUCUUUCGGCUUUGAAGAAAGCUCUCUGGUACAAGUCAGAAUUCAGGAAAGAGUUGAACCUGUCUAAACCGACGACAAUUUGCGACGCGCUGCAUCGAGCCUCGGAUUUCGUCGCCCACGAAGAAGAGAUGGCGCUGCUAGCAAAGAGGCAUGAGCCAACAAAACAGGCGCCCCGAGCCGAGAAAACCGAGAAAGCCCAAGCAACACCUUCGGUUCAGAAGAAGACGCGUGAGAGCGGUACGUAUACGCAUCACGAAGGGCGCAAUUUCUCAGGAUACCAUAACUACCAGAUUGACACGCCCCGAGGCCGUGGCCGUGGCAGAGGCCGAGGCCGUGGGCGAGGAAGAGAGUCCUUCACCUGGACAAGGGAUCAGCCACCGAGCAACGAUCAAGAAUAUUGCGAACACCACAAAAUUUUCGGUCACCAUACCUCGAGAUGCCGAAGCCUCGGAGCUAAGUUAGCAACCAAAUUCCUAGCUGGAGAGCUCGGGACGAACGUCACUCUUAAGGAUCUCGAGCCAGAGCCAGAGCCCGAGCAGACCAAUCCGGGAAGAGACCCUGAACCAAGGAACCAGGAGUCUCAGAAAAGAACCCGGGGGACGGAAGACGAAGACCGAGAUGGUACGCGGCAGAAGAUUAUCACUAUAAUGGGUGGAUCGCCAUACUGUCCUGACACCGUAGCGGUAAUCAAAGCUUAUCAACGCCGAGCCGAGACGCCUAACAACUGGACAAGACGCUUCGAUCGACCUAACGACGUGAUCACAUUCGAAGAAAGCGAGACAAAUGGGCUCGAUAUGCCUCAUAACGAUCCAAUCGUCGUCACAUUAGCGAUAGGACACCAUGAUAUUUACCGAGUAUUAAUUGACACCGGCAGCACCAUCGACGUAAUCUUUCGCGAAACGCUCCGACAAAUGAACAUCGACAUGUCACAGGUAAUUCCGACCCCGAGGCAUGUCCUCGGAUUUUCAGGGGAAACUUUGAUGACGCUUGGAACCAUCCAACUGCCAGUCCGAGCCGGCGGGGUGACAAAGAUAGUCAACUUCUCAGUCACCGAUCAACCUACCAUCUACAACUUCAUAAUGGGAACUCCGUGGUUAAAUCUGAUGCGAGCUGUCGCAUCAACAUAUCAUCUGUGUGUCAAAUUCCCGACCCCCAAUGGCGUGAAAACGAUCUGGGGCAGUCAGAAAAAUUCUCGGAUGUGUUUCAUGGCAGCACACAAACUCCGAAACCCUGUCACUGAAGCGAAGGCUGAAACCGAUCACAAGAAAUCAAAACUUGGCCAGAGUGAAGAGAAGGCUAUAUCUAAACAGUUAUAGCAAUUACAGAUCGAGGAGGCGCGCGAGGAGAAGAAGCCUACCUCGGAUCCUGUAAUCUCCAUUAGCCUCGAUGACGAACGGCCUGAACGAUGCGUGGAAAUUGGCAGCGACUUAACCGAGGAAAUCAAGACCGAGCUCAUCUCAUUCCUCAAAGAGAACAUCAACACCUUCGCCUGGUCGGCUGAAGACCUACCUGGGGUAAGCAUCGACGUAAUCUGCCACGAGCUGAAUGUUGACCCAUCUUUCAAGCCCAUCAAGCAGAAGCGAAGAAAAUUGGGUCGUGAUCGCGCAGAUGCCGUGAACGCCGAAGUAGAAAAGCUCCUGAAGAUCGGCUCGAUCUCCGAAGCAAGAUAUCCGGACUGGUUAGCAAAUCCUGUCGUGGUAAAAAAGAAGAACGGCAAGUGGAGAGUCUGCGUCGAUUUCACCGAUUUGAACAAAGCUUGCCCUAAAGAUAGUUUUCCACUCCCACAUAUCGAUCGCUUAGUGGAAGCAACUGCGGGAAAUAAGUUGCUAUCAUUCAUGGAUGCUUUCGCAGGAUACAAUCAGAUUCUCAUGCACCCCGACGAUCGCGAGAAGACAUCAUUCAUCACAGACCGAGGUAUCUACUGUUACAAGGUCAUGCCCUUCGGACUCAAGAAUGCUGGCGCAACGUAUCAACGGCUCGUCAACAGGAUGUUCUCCGAGCAGCUCGGGAAGACGAUGGAAGUUUAUAUCGACGACAUGUUAGUCAAAUCCCUUGAAGAAAGCGAUCACAUAGCCCAUCUACGCGACUGUUUUCGCCAGCUCAACAAGCAUAACAUGAAGCUCAACCCGGCAAAAUGUCGUUUCGCGGUAAAGUCGGGAGAAUUCUUGGGAUAUCUCGUAACUCACCGAGGCAUCGAGGCAAACCCGAAGCAGAUCGAUGCUCUACUGAACAUGCCCUCACCACAGAACAAGCGCGAAGUCCAACGUCUCACCGGGAGAGUCGCAGCCUUGAACCGAUUCAUCUCGCGGUCCACUGACAAAUGCCUGGCUUUCUACGAUACUCUGCGCGGAAACAAGAAAUUCGAAUGGACCGAUCGCUGCGAAGAAGCUUUCCAGGAACUGAAGAAGUAUCUGGCUAAUCCACCGGUGUUGGCGAAACCAGUCCCAGGCGAGCCAUUAUUUAUGUACAUCGCAGUCUCUGAUACGGCGAUAAGCGGAGUCAUAGUCAGGGAAGACAGAGGAGAGCAGAAGCCGAUAUUUUAUGUCUCACAAACUUUCACCGACGCGGAAACACGCUACCCGCAAACUGAAAAGCUCGCCCUCACCGUAGUAAUGUCAGCUCGGAAGCUACGGCCAUAUUUCCAGUCUCACUCAAUUGUCGUCAUGGCGCCCGUAUCACUUCGAACCAUCCUGCACAGUCCAAGCCAAUCGGGACGCCUGGCCAAGUGGGCAGUAGAACUCAGCGAGUAUGACAUCGAAUACAGGAACAAAACAUGCGCGAAAUCUCAAGUCCUGGCCGAUUUUAUCAUCGAGCUGCCAACAGAAAACGCCCGAGAAGAGUCACCCAACGCUGUUUGGAUCCUUCACGUCGACGACUCAUCCUCAAAACAAGGUUUUGGCGUCGGAAUCCGCCUAGCGUCACCAGAGGGUGAAAUCUUCGAACAAUCCUUUCGGCUAAACUUCGACGCGACUAACAACGUGGCUGAGUAUGAAGCGCUGAUAGCAGGACUUAAGCUGGCUCGGGGACUUAAGAUUAACAAGCUGCGAGCCUUUUGCGACUCCCAGCUCGUGGCUAAUCAAUUCAAUGGAGAAUAUGCGGCUCGCGACGAACGAAUGGAAGCGUAUCUUGCUCUCACGCAAGACUUGGCGAAACAGUUCGGCGAGUUCGAGUUAACCAGAAUCCCACGAGGUGAAAACACAUCGGGCGAUGCCUUAGCAGUUCUAGCUUCAACCUCCGACCCGAAUCUGAAGAGAAUCAUACCGGUCGAGUUCAUCGAAAAGCCGAGCAUUGAAGAAAAUAGCAAGGAUCAAGUUCUAACAGCUCGGGAGACAGAAGAACCGGAAGAAAUGGACAUCGAACUGCUAAACCAGCAAACUACGGACGCAACUGAGCCCGAAUACGGAAGCGACGCCAAAUUGAUCGGAGCCAUCCGAAGCUACAUUGCCGAUGGAGAAGUUCCUACUGAAAAAUGGGCAGCUCGGAAGCUUAAGGCAAAAGCGGCUCGGUAUACUCUGAUCGACGGAGAACUCUUUAAAUGGCGAUUUUCCGGUCCCUUCCUUAUCUGUGUCGAAGGAAAUGAAGCUCGGAGAGUCAUGGAAGAAGUGCACGGCGGAUCUUGCGGAAACCAUUCUGGCGGGAGAGCCCUAGCUAUAAAGAUCAAACGCCACGGAUAUUUUUGGCCGACAAUGGUCAAAGACUGCGAGAAGUUUUCUCAAUAGUGCGACAAAUGCCAAAGGCACGCACCAACCAUUCAUCAACCCGCCGAGCUCCUCUCUUCCAUCACUUCGCCUUAUCCGUUCAGGCGAUGGUCCAUGGACAUCAUUGGACCUCUACACAACUCCUAGCAGAAGAAACUCGUCCUCGUACUGACAGACUACUUCUCCAAAUGGAUCGAGGCGGAAUCCUACGCUAGCAUGAAAGACGCGCAGGUCGAGAACUUCGUCUGGAAGAACAUCAUAUACCGCGACGGGAUACCUUACGAGAUCGUUACAGACAACGGAUCACAGUUUAUUUCGGCUCGGUUCGAAGGAUUCUGCGAGAAAUGGGGAAUUCGCCUCAGCAAGUCUACGCCUCGGUACCCUCAGGGAAACGGUCAAGCCGAAGCGGCAAACAAUACGAUUCUCGAUGGAAUAAAAAAGCGCCUCGACGCGAAGAAAGGCCGCUGGGCCGACGAAUUGGAAGGAGUACUAUGGUCGCACAGAACCACGCCGCGGUGGGCCACGGGAGAAACGCCUUUCGCCCUUGUCUACGGCGCGGAGUGUGUGAUUCCCACCGAAGCCGAGAUCCCAGGACUAAGAAGACGUUUUCUCCCCGAACAGGAAAAUUCCAACACUCAGAUGAUGUUGGACGAGCUGGACUUAAUUGACGAAAGAAGAGAUUCGGCUUUGAUCCGUAUGCAGAACUAUCAAAAUGCAACGGCUCGGUACUACAAUUCUCACGUUAAGCAUCACCGUUUCCACGAAGGAGAUCUCGUACUGCGCAAAGUUUUCCAGAAUACCGCCGAGCAGAACGCAGGUAAGCUCGGCGCAAAUUGGGAGGGACCUUACACGAUCGCAAAGGUAAUCCGUCCCGGCGUCUACGAACUCAUCAACAUGAACGGCAAAUCGGUGCCUAGAUCCUGGAACGCAAUGCAUCUAAGGAAAUACUACCGCUAAAAACCUAAGGUACGCAUGUGCUCGAACUACGGGGUGGCUUGAUCCUUGAAAAGGGUACGUAGGCAGCUCGUCCUCGGACGAGUUCAGCUACCCCCCUAAUUAAAAAAGGGGGGAGUGGGUCCGUAUACAUAUACUCCCACUAAAUUUUUCAAAUUUUCUAAGUUUUUACCCUUCGGAUUUUCAUUUUUAUCCACCUCGACAUCUAUCCCAAAAUUCAUCUCGGGAACUUUUACGGUCUCCUUAUCGACCCACAAAGCCAAUAGUUCAUUCGGACGAUGGCCACGUCCACGAACAGAGAGCUCAUUUCACCGCUUCGGUUACAGCGCGCUAUAUAAGCAUCCAAGACAAUUCGGUGGGAGAUAUCUUGCCAUAAAGAAGUUGUCUUCAGAAAACCCAGUUGACUUCAACACUGGUACCCCAGUUCGCUUCUAAGCACUGGAAAUCGACUAUAUCAGCUUGGGUCGCAACCGAUAAAGAUUAGUCCCAUGUGACCGAAACCCAGUUAUCUUAACACUGGUACGCUAUUCAUCGCCACGGUUCGGAAGUUAAAACAGCUCGGAAAAGAUUAACUUCUCGAUGAAACAAGUCAGAUUUGCGAAAACUCGGUUACUCAACACUGGUAUCGAAUCGGGUUCGGAAACAUCUCGAGAUAAAAGAAAACAAAAUUCACAUUAAAUGGAUAAAGCCAUCCAGGCAUAAGUCUUUACCAAAGAAACUCAAAACAAAAGGAAAAGAAGCAAAAGGGAGCGCCUCGGGAUCAAUCUUCCUUCUCUGGAAUCUGCGCGACCUCGGAAGUCAAAUUUGGCCCGACCGGAUCCUCUACAUUCUGGUCAGAGUCGGGAGACACUGGAGCAACCUUCAAAUCUCCAAGAAGCUCCGCCCCAAGUUUGGCGUACUCAGCCUCAGCAUCCCCAUACUCUUCUUUCCACUUCAGCACCUCUUCUUUCUCCUCUUCGAUCCUGCUACCACCUUCAAGCUCCGCGAUCAGCUCAGCGUUGGCUUUGGCUUGAGAAAAAUACACGAAACGCUCCGAAACUUUGUCGAAAUGGUUCAACUUCGCCUCGGUCGCCUUAACCUUUUUGGCAAAGUCCUCCGUGAGCUCUCGUCUGGCGGCCUUCUUCGCGCGAGCCACCUCUAUCUCGCGGAGAGCUUUCUCUUCCGUCAGCAAACGAUUAAGGCUCUCAAUCGUCGCCUCGGCCUCCUGUUGGGCACGAAGAUGCUCCUCGGCCAUUUUACGCCUUGUCUCCUGCUCAGUAACGAUUAGCGCUUCGGCACCCUGCAUCGCCAGAGUGGCCUCGGCUGCCUUCUUAUCAGCUUCGACCCGAGUCAUUUCCAACUGUUCCUUGGCCAUCUCAUGUUUGCGCGCCGCAGAAUCGUAAGAAUGCACCAUCGUAUUCAUCGAGGAAAACGCCUGAGAUACAGAAGGGAAGACGCAUUAGAAACUUGAAAAUAAAUAGGCCUUAAAGGGUACUUGGCGAACAUCUACCUUCAAAAAGUUGGCCGAAGUCUCACCAUACUUGUCCGCUUCUACCAGACUUUCAGGAGCAGGAAGCAGUGGCCAAGCACACGAGGCAAUGAGAUUGGCGGACGCAACUGCGUCCUUAUAGAUCGGGCGAGAAGCGGUGCUCUCUUUCCUCGACCUCUUCCUCUUACCCUCGGAAUGUUCGCCUCGGGGACGCUUUUCUUUCGACUUAGCUUGCUCACCAGCAAGCAGGCCAACAACGACAGAGGCGCCUCUCACCUCGGGGACUUGAUCACGUUCCGGAAUAAUCUCGGACACUUCGGGAGGAGCCGCGGUAACGAUCAAAUCAACUCCUGACCCCUCGGGCUUAUCAGUCGCCUCGGACCUUCCAGACAGCUCGUUUCCACCUGUCGCCUUGGGUGGAGUCAAGGGCCUAAAGAUCGCCCCGAGGGUCCGAUUCUCUUCGGCAGCCUUCUUCUCGGCGGCUUUCUUCUCCCUGAUCGACAUCUUCACCCCCUGCAUCUCUCUCAAGAAAUUCACUCGUUGAUCUGAAGAAGAAGACGAAGAAGAACAAGAUACGCCGUGGAGAACUCUCAAAGCUCUAUCAAUCCUCUCGCGCGUAAAGUGCCUCAACCAAUGACACUUCCUAGCGGCAAGCUCUUCAUGGGUAUCAAGGAAUCCCUCGGGAAAAUUCUCAAGAAACAACGGGUUUCGAUCUGUAAAAAGAACGAGGAACAUCAGAAAAAUUCUGAAACCGCAAUCAGCAAGCACGAACUUCAGGUUAAGUACCAAUUUUUCCCCAUUUACAAAGUACCUUCCCAAGACACCCCUCGGGAACACAAUCCUCAUCUAAGGCAACGAAGAAGAAAUGAUCUGUAUAUUUCUCAUCUUUGCUAGGGAACCCGCCAGUAACCCUCCUAUUCUUGGCUGGGGAAAUUUAGUAUCUUUCCACCGAACCCUUAUUCCGACGGAUCUCCAAGAGGUUCCUUAGGUGCCCAAGCGUAAUAUCGUGACCCGUCUCCAUUCCGCGUACUAUAAUCCCAAUGAGGUGUCGUAAGCCUCGGGUUGUGAUCUGAGCCAGAGCCAGCUUGUACGACCAGAGAUACUCUAUGAUCGCCCUCGGGAUCGGGAACCAUAGGAAGCAGAAAUAAAAGAACCCUUCGUACAGUGUAAAAAACCCCUCGGGAGGAUUAUCCGCCCUCUCGCUCGGGGUUGGAAGUCGCAAAGUGACCGCCUCGCCAAAACCGAACCGGGCCUUCAACUCGCGGAGCGAAUCCGCAGUAGACAAGGUAGAACCCGGAGGGUCGGGCUUUUUCGUCUUUUUGGCUCGUCGCUUCUUUUUCUGAGCUGUCAUCGCACCCUGCAUUGCCGCCUGAAGAAGCCUGGCUUCCGCCUCGGCGUCAUAAAAGACCUCUUCGUCCUUUACCGAGGGAAGAACCGGUGCCUCGGGAGGAAUCGGCGCCUCGGGAACAUCGGCCCAGCGGGAACCCCCGGCUUCGCCUAUGGCUGGGGGGCGUCUAUUCUUCCUUCGAAGAUUCACCUCGGGCUCUUCAGGCAGAUCUAAUUCACGAGCGACAUCGGCAAUGGCAUCUUCCCGAGCCACGAACCGGCUCGGACUCUCUUGAGUAUGACGAGAUGGCUCGGCAUCACUGCCUCGGCGACCCGACGUGCUAGCCUCAGAUUCGGAACUACUCCACACCAUUCUUCUUUUGUGGAUCGGAGGAAGACUGUCACCUCGGGAUGAACCACUCGAAUCAGAAAGCAUUCGUCGCCUCGGGGCAAAUCGGAGAAACAAGUUUUGCAGAUCGGACAAAUCAACCCUAAGAUCUAAAUCACGGCGGCAAUCAACGGAAACUAAACAGAAAAAGAUAACCAACAAAGAGAUCAAGAUCAGAGAAAAGAAAUCUAACCUUAGCUCGUUUUUCUUCAAAGUUUGCAAAAUGAGAAAAAGAGUCGAGUAUUCGGAAUAUAUAGAAAAUCCGAGGCGCGUCGGGUGCGCGUGACUUUAGAAACGUGUUGCGUCCGCCUAAAAUCUCGGGAACUGGCGAAAGACGUUCCCACUUCUCGAGGUGGAAGUUCAACCGACACACGCUAAAAGAAGAUGAAGCGUCAAAAGAACUCGAAUCGUCAGGAGAAUUCGGAUCACUAAAAGAUUCGAACUUUCAGAUAGCCUCGGCGUACAAAGACAAGCUCGGGACAACGAUUGAACUGUUCGGACUAAUCAUUAAGCUCAUCGCUUGCUCCUCAAGACAACGAGCUGGGGGGCUAACUGUUGGGGUCGGAUUCCACCCGCGUUAAGUCUGAGCUAUGACAACGCCUCAGGACCUAUAACCAAAUCAGCUCGGGGAACUCUGACCAGACAGUUCGGUAUCCCGCACGGAUCGGUUCGGGCAUCCUCAUUGCCGGUUCGGGAUUACCAACCAACUUGGAUACCCGAGCCCGUCAAUCCAAUACCCGAGCCCGACUCGGAUAACCGAGCCCGUUCACAGUUCGGUCAACCGAGCCGAUUCUUGUUAACGUCUGAACGACCGAAUCCAUCCACGGUUCGGGUUCCUAAGCCCGUUUCUCCUACGAGUACCCGAGCCCGGCAAAUAUUUCGGCUCGGGCAUAAUGUCAGAUUGUUUACCCGAGCCGAACACCAGCAGAUCUCUGAAUUACCCGAGGCAAGACCAUAAGUCACCCGAGGCGAGAUCAUCAACCACUUAAAGCGAAGACUUGGUGAAAUAUUCACCCUCAAAGUACCAUUUCCAAGCAAGGCAUCAUUUCCGAUAUACCCGGAAAUGAUAAGGGAGAAUCUAGAAGGAUCGACUCAAAUCAGGAAGUCUUCAAAAAACUCCGAAGAAUAAGGAAAUUAUCCUAAUCCGCGAUAUUCUGGCCGACUUCAAGAUAAAUGGAAAUCUUCCGAGAAUAUCGCUGGAGAGGCGGUUUAUCACCCCUAUAUAAAGAGAUUCAAGGCUCAAGCAAAAGGCAAGCAAUAUCGCUCUAGAAUUUACACUACGCAAAGCUCUCACAGCACUAACAUCUUUUUCUUUACGAUCAAAGUCAUCUUGUCCUUAAUAAUAUCAAGAACACCAUCUUUGGUAUCGAUUGAUUCUGUCGUUCUUCGAGAAUUCUCGCAAAUCGUAUCCCUAAAUUAAAACCCUAGACAAAUCUCGAUUGUGUUAGUUUCGACUUCCACAACCUCAAAGCCUUCCUAAUUUAUAUUAUUAUAUUUCUAAUAUUAUUAUCAGAUUCUAUAUCUUGGUUUAGUAGGUUUAGUUAUUUGGUUUAACUUAACCAAUUGUAUAGGUAUAGUAUAAAUACUCUUGUACAGUGAUGAUUAUACAAUAAUGAGAAAGUCAACAUUUGAAAACUCUAACAAACUAUUCUCAUCAUCUCCUUCUCCGUAAUAUGGUAUCAGAGCCAUCAAAGCUCAAAACUCCAUUGAUUUCGACCUGAUUUCUUCGUUCUGAGCUCAGAUUCUUCUUCUCCGUUGUCUAAUCUCUAGAUCCAAUGGUGACUGUAACUCGUGCUCAACGAAAAUCCACUCGAUCGAAGUCUGGUACAAGUUCCGCUACUCGAAAGCCGUCGCGAUCCACCGGCGUUGUUGAUUCACCUCCGAACCUCCUCCAGUUACUAAAUCUAAUGUUUCUGGAGCUUUGCGAGCUCAAACAACAUCGGAAUCUCCAGAUCCGACUCACUCUCCUUUCUUUAUGCAUAGCGCCGAUCAUCCAGGUUUAAAUAUCAUCUCUCAUCGCUUAGAUGAAACGAACUAUGGUGAUUGGAGUGUCGCUAUGCUUAUCUCUCUAGAUGCUAAGAACAAAACUGGAUUCAUAUAUGGAACUCUCUCUCGUCCUUUAGAAAUGGAUUUGAAUUUCCGUCUGUGGUCUAGGUGUAAUAGCAUGGUCAAAUCCUGGUUGCUUAAUUCUGUUUCUCCUCAGAUUUAUCGAAGUAUUCUUCGUAUGAAUGAUGCUUCGGAUAUAUGGCGUGAUCUUCACAGUCAUUUCAAUCUGACUAAUCUUCCACGCACAUAUAAUCUUACUCAAGAGAUCCAGAAUUUACGCCAAGGUACAUUGUCUCUAUUUGAGUACUACACUCGUCUCAAGACAUUAUGGGAUCAAUUGGAUAGUACAGAGGCAUUAGAUGAGCCUUGUACAUGUGGUAAAGCUACUCGUCUGCAACACAAGGCAGAGUGAGCUAAGAUUGUGAAAUUCUUGGCUAGUUUGAAUGAAUCUUAUGCGAUUGUUCGCAGACAGAUCAUAGCUAAGAAAAUUCUUCCUAGUUUGGCAGAGGUGUAUAACAUUUUGGAUCAAGACAAUAGUCAACAGGGAUUCUCUAAUGUUGUUGCUCCACCUACUGUUUUCCAAGUAUCUGGGAAUGCUAACUCUACUGGCAUGGAUCCUACUAUUUGUUAUGUUCAAGAUGGUCCUAAUAAGGGAAGACCAAUUUGUUCUUUCUGCAAUAGAGUGGGACAUAUUGCUGAGAGAUGUUACAAGAAACAUGGAUUUCCUCCUGGAUUCACACCCAAAGGAAAAACUGGUGAUAAGUUUCAAAAACCAAAACCUAUGGCUGCUAAUGUUACUUUGACAACUACAGAGUCUGUGGAUACUCAUUCUAAUUUGGAGAAUAUGGUUGGGAACAUGAAUAAAGAACAACUUCAACAGUUCAUUGCAAUGUUCAGCUCUCAACUUCAGAAUUCUUCUCCCAGUAACUCUGCAGUUGCUAGUUCUUUUCAGUCAGAAAAUAUUGGUAUUUCUUUUUCACCUUCAACAUACUCUUUUAUUGGCAUAUUGACUGUUGCUCGUCAUACACUUGAUUCUAAAACAUGGGUGAUAGACUCUGGAGCUACACACCAUGUAUCUCAUGAUAGAAGUUUAUUUUCCACAUUGGAUACUUCUGUUUUGAGUUCAGUGAAUUUGCCAACAGGUCCCACUGUGAAGAUCAGUGGUGUUGGUACAUUAAGAUUUAACAGUCAUAUCCUUCUCCAAAAUGUGUUGCUUAUCCCGGAGUUUUGACUGAAUCUCAUCAGUAUAAGUUCUCUCACUGAUGAUGUUGGCUCCCGAGUAAUUUUUGACAAAACUACUUGUGAAAUUCAGGAUCCUAUCAAGGCCCGGAAGCUUGGUCAAGGUAGGAGGAUUGUAAAUCUCUAUGUGUUGGACAUUGAAGAAUCUAUCUCAGUGAAUGCAGUUGUGGACAUUAGUAUGUGGCAUAGGAGACUUGGUCAUGCUUCUUUGCAAAGACUUGAUGUUAUUUCAGAUUCAUUGGGAACUACAAGGCACAAGAAUAAAGGCUCCGAUUAUUGUCAUGUCUGUCAUUUAGCAAAACAGAGAAAGUUAUCCUUUCCUUCUCAGAAUAAAGUUUGUAAUGAGAUAUUUGACAUGUUACAUAUAGACAUUUGGGGUCCUUUCUCAAUUGAAACAGUUGAUGGUUUUAAGUACUUCUUAACAAUAGUAGAUGAUCAUUCAAGAGCAACAUUGAUUUAUCUACUAAGAACUAAGUCUGAGGUGCUAACAGUUUUCCCUGGUUUUAUUGAACAAGUUGAGAAUCAAUACAAGAUCAAGGUUAAGGCUGUGAGAUCUGAUAAUGCACCAGAAUUGAGAUUUGCAAGUUACUAUCAACAGAAGGGUAUUGCUUCAUUUCAUUCUUGUCUAGAGACACCAGAACAAAAUUCAGUUGUAGAAAGAAAGCACCAACACAUAUUAAACGUAGCCAGAACUCUAAUGUUUCAAUCCACUCUCUUUAUGGGGUGACUGUGUUCUCACAACUAUUUUUCUUAUCAACAGGACUCCAUCACAGUUGCUUUCUAACAAGACACCUUAUGAGAUUCUUACUGGUUCAGUUCCUCAAUAUGAGCAGCUUCGUACUUUUGGUUGUUUGUGCUACAGUUCUACAUCACCAAAACAGAGACACAAGUUUCAACCGACAUCAAGAGCUUGUUUGUUUCUUGGAUAUCCUUCUGGAUACAAAGGUUACAAAUUAAUGGAUUUGGAGAGUAAUACGGUUUUCAUCUCUAGAAAUGUGAUAUUUCAUGAAGAAAUUUUCCCAUUGGUUAAAGAUCCAAGAUCAGAGAGUUCUUUGGAGUUAUUCACACCAAUGGUUCCUGUGUCUUCAGGUACUCAUCAUUCUCCUCUCUCUUCUCUUUCAUCAAAAAUUUCUGAUCUACCACCACAAAUUUCUUCUUAGAGAGUUAGGAAACCACCUGCUCAUCUGAUAGAUUAUGACUGUAACAUUAUACAGUCUAAUCAUAAAUAUACUAUUUUCUUUACACUUUCUUAUUCUAAAAUUUCUCCAUCUCAUAUGUGUUAUAUAUAUCAAUAAUAUCACAAAAAUUCCUAUCCCACCAUUUAUGCUGAGGCACAGGACACCAAAGAAUGGUGUGAGGCGGUUGAUGCUGAGAUUGGUGCUAUGGAAUCUACUAACACUUGGGAGAUUACUACAUUACCACCAGGAAAGAAAGCAGUAGGUUGUAAAUGGGUAUUCACAUUGAAAUUUUUGGCUGAUGGUAGUCUUGAAAGAUAUAAGGCUAGAUUGGUUGGAAAAGGUUAUACUCAGAAAGAAGGUUUGGAUUAUACUGACACAUUUUCUCCAGUUGCUAAGAUGACCACAAUCAAGUUGUUGUUGAAAGUUUCAGCUUCUAAGAAAUGGUUUUUUAAGCAGUUGGAUGUGUCUAAUGCGUUUUUGAAUGGAGAAUUGGAAGAAGAGAUAUUCAUGAAGUUGCCUGAAGGUUAUGCAGCAAGAAAAGGUCUGCAAUUACCAUCAAAUGCUGUUUGUAAGUUGAAAAGAUCCAUUUAUGGUCUUAAACAAGCUUCUAGACAGUGGUUUAAGAAGUUUUCUGCAUCACUUAUCAGUUUGGGUUUUAAAAAGACUCAUGGUGAUCAUACUCUAUUUCUCAAAGAGUAUGAAGGUGACUUUGUUAUUGUCUUAGUCUAUGUUGAUGAUAUUGUGAUAGCUAGCACAAGUGAGACUGCGGCAACACAAUUGACUGAUGACUUGAAGUUGAGAUUUAAGCUGAGGGAUCUUGGUGAUUUGAAAUAUUUUUUGGGGCUUGAGGUUGCUAGGACGACUGCAGGAAUUUCAAUAUUAUGCCAAAGAAAGUAUGCUUUGGAAUUAUUGCAGUCUACUGGUAUGCUUAAUUGUAAGCCGGUUUCAGUACCAAUGAUUCCUAAUGUGAAAAUGAUGAAAGAAGAUGGUGAUUUGCUAGAAGAUAAAGAGCAAUAUCGCAGAAUUGUUGGAAAAUUGAUGUAUCUGACAAUCACAAGGCCAAAUAUCACUUUUGCGGUUAACAAGUUAUGCCAAUUCUCUUCUGCUCCUAGAACUACUCAUCUUGCUGGAGCUUACAGAGUUUUGCAGUAUAUCAAAGGAACAGUUGGACAUGGAUUAUUUUACUCUGCUUCCCCUGAUCUCACUUUAAAGGGGUUUGCAGACUCUGAUUGGGCUUCUUGUUCUGAUAAUCGCCGUUCUACUACUGGUUUCUCAAUGUUUGUAGGGGAUUCUUUGAUAUCUUGGCGAUCAAAGAAGCAACAUACAGUGUCAAGAUCCUCUACAGAAGCUGAGUACAGAGCUUUAGCUUUGGCAACUUGUGAGAUAGUCUGGUUGUACACUCUACUUACCUCUUUGAAGACUUCUCCAACGGUACCUAUCCUCUUUUCAGACAGUACUGCAGCAAUAUAUAUUGUUGAACCCGAACCCCCAGGGUUGGUAACAUCAUGUAAAAGAUGGGACAAAGUUCUCAUAAGACAAGCAGAAAGAUGAGUUGAAUAGAUCGUAUAAAUUUGUGGAGUAAAUAAUAUAAAUUUUGUUAUAGCUGGACUCGAGAGACGAGCUGCCUACGUACCCGAAGCGGUAUCAAGCCAAAACGUAGUUCGAUUACAACAAAGAGAAUGUAUUUAGUCAUUAUUAUGAAUGACAUUGUUUGUGUCUAAAUAAUGGUGAGAAAUGUAGAAGAUGAAUCUUGUGUAGAAAAAUGUGAGUCACCUUUCUUGGAGUCUGCACCUCUCUUUUAUAGCCUCUUCCUCCCUUCUAGGGUGUCUUUACUUGGUCAUUAAAUUCAGAAUUAACUCCAUAAAAUAACUCCAAUUUUUGGCAAUUAACUCUUAGUCUUGAAUGACAAACUUUAUUCCUUUGACAAUGACAAUUAAUUCAUGUAUUUAAUCACGAAUUAAUGUCAAGGUUUGACCACCCCCUUUUCCAAGAUAGGGCUCCUUGGACUUUGUAAAGUGAUGGUUUUCCAACAUGUAAAAUGGACCCCUUGCGGGAUCCGGUACCAACAUAUAUUGCCACUAAUCCAGUCUUCCAUGAGGGAACCAAACACAUUGAAAUUGAUUGUCACACAGUUAGGGAGAGACUGGACAAUGGUGAAAUCAAGCUACUUCAUGUGAGAACUGAUGACCAAGUAGCUGAUAUUUUGACUAAACCAUUGUUUCCUCAUCAAUUUGAGCAUCUUAAAUCCAAGAUGAACAUUCUAAACAUUUUUGAAUGCUCAUCUUGAGGAGGCAUAUCAGAUUCUAUAUCUUGGUUUAGUAGGUUUAGUUAUUUGGUUUAACUUAACCAAUUGUAUAGCUAUAGUAUAAAUACUCUUGUAAAGUGAUGAUUAUACAAUAAUGAGAAAGUCAACAUUUGAAAACUCUAACAAACUAUUCUCAUCUACCCGAGGAAGAGGGAAGCAAGCAAAGCUUGCCCCGGAUCGUAGGAUCUCCUUCUUCGUAACAAUUAUAUCUCUUUUACAUUCAAAAGAUUGACAGUGAUUGUAAUUUACAAUUUUUAUGUUAAAUAAUUACCAAUAAAUAAUAUUACCAAUAAAUAAUUUGCUAGUUUUUCUUUUAGCAAUUCAGUUACCAACCAUAUGGUAAUGAUUUUCCCACCAAUGGAACAAAAUAUGUUCUAAAAUGAAAAAAAAACAGUAAGUUGCUAUUCAUAUGCUACAAAUCAGUAUUAUUUACAUACAUUUGUUUUAUAGUUUCUACUAUAUUAUCUAUAAUUUUCCAAAUAAUGGUCUUUUAAAUAUUUCUGAAUUUUGAUUACAAACACAAAAAGUCGUAUACUUAAGAGAAAUUGUUAAAAAUGCCCUUUUUUCAAUACCCCUUUUCAAAAAUGCCCCCUUUGAGAUUUCAUUUUUAAGUUUGCCCUCUUUUAAUUUUUAAUGACCAUUUUACCCUUAUUUGAAACAAAAUUAGGUCCACCAAAUACAAAAUAUUUUUUGGCGGGAAAAGUGAUCCCGCAAUUUUUCCGCCAAAACACUUGUAAAAACCUUUAAAAUACCUUGUAAAAUUUUUCCGUAAAAAAUUUUCCCGCCAAAUAUUUUUUUUGCGGGAAAAGUGAUUCCGCAAUUUUUUUGGCGGGAAAAUUUUUGGCGGAAAAAAUUUACAAGGUAUUUUAAAAGUUUUACGGAGUAUUUACAAAUGUUUUGUAAGGUUUUACAAUGUAUUUUAAAAAGUUUUACAAGGUACUUAUAAGGUUUUAUAAGGUAUUUAUAACUUGUAAAAUCUUAUAAUAUCUUAUAAAUACGUUGUAAAACCUUUUAAAAUACAUUGUAAAACCUUAUAAAUACCCUGUAAAAAAGCUUUAAAAUACCUUGUAAAUUUUUUCCGCUAAAAAUUUAACGCCAAAAAAAUUGCGGAAUCACUUUUUCCGCAAAAAAAAAAUUUUGGCGGGAAAAAAUUUUACGGGAAAAUUUUACAAGGUAUUUUAAAGGUUUUACAAGUUUUUACAAGUGUUUUGGCGGGAAAAAUUGCGGGAUCAGUUUUCCCGCCAAAAAAUAUUUUGUAUUUUAUGGACCUAAUUUUGUUAUAUUUCCUUAUAUAUUUGUGAUAUCUUUUAUUAUAAAAAGCGUAAUUUAGUCAUUUUGUACAUAAAAAAGGGUAUUUUUAAAAAUGGACAGCCAAAAGGGAUAUUUUUGAAAAGGGAUAUUGAAAAAGGGACAUUUUUGUGAGUCUCCCUAUCUUUAAAAUGACAUAAAAUUUAAAUGAAAAAAAAAAAACUGAAAUUAAAAUUUAAAUAAUGUAUUUAAAUGGUGCAGAUGCAAAACUAUGGUUGAAUAUUUUGGGAUAUGUGAGCCACAACAAUAAGCUAGUGCGUCUAAUGCCCCACCAAAUAUGGUGAAGCGAUAGGCAGCCGGCCCUCUUCCCCGUUCCUCGCUUCAUUUUAUUUUAUUUGGUUUGUAUUUACUUGUUUUUUGUUUUGUUUAGACGGUUCGUUGUGGCUACUUUUGAACCUAUGGUUUAGGAUUUUAAUGAAAAUUUUCUCUAAAAUUCAUAUUCACUUUUGUUAUGCCCUAAUGGUCUGGAUAGACAUCAUUAUCCGAAAUCAUAAUAUUCGAAUACCAAUAUUACCAAAUUCACACAUACAUGCAUAUAUAUGUUUUCUUUUUCUUUUUCUUUUUCUUAAAGUCCCAAACUUACACGAAAUUCCAGACUAAUCGCUAGAAUGUCUGUCAAAAAGAAAAACAAAAUGGUUAAUAUGUGGAGUAUUAUGUAUUCUUGUCAUUUAGAGAUUCAUGGUGACCAACCAAUGGUUAAAUACAGUUGGAGGACUCGAACUCUUUUGGCUCAAUCAACACUAUGAUAAAUCUUUCAACCAUUGCACCACCAUAAAAAUUUUAACUAAUAUAUGUAGUUUAUAUUUGUAUAAAAUACUUGACACUCGUUUGGAGACAUUUGAUUACCUAGACAACUUGAUGCGUAGAGAAAGAUUUAAUGAGCAGGUGGAUGCAAUAACAUUUGACGGUGAGGUGGAUGAUAAUUCCUUUGUUUUCUGCCAAACUACUUAACAAACAUAAUCUUUGACGUCUCUUCCCUAAGUUUCGUUUUAUGAUUGUUUGGCUGUUAGGUGCAUUUAAGAAAUUCAUAAAGGUGACGACUACCGUAAAUCGUAAAUCGGGACAAUAAUAUUCAGAAAAAAAGUAAAAGAGACUUGUGGUGCGAUAUGAAAGUCGAUUUACAUAGAGUGUGAUGCCAAAACCGUGGACUGAAAUACCAAAAUUUUCGUCAUGUUUCUUCCAACGUCUUUGCCCUUUCCCUUAAUGGCUCUCUGCACGUUGCUAAUGCUAUCACAACUCUUUAUAACAUUGACUUGAUUAAAUUGUUAUGUGUUUUCGUUUACAUGUUCCAAAUUAAAGUCAUAGGAAACUAGCUAUCACUCGAAAAACCGUCUUCUCUUCAAACUAGAUUGCGUCUUACAAGAGAGAUUAACUUAGCUAAGGAAGAAUAACGAGCUCGGAGAGGAAGAUCGGAAGAUUUUAUCUUGUGUUUUGCUUUUUUUUUUUUAUGUUUUUGUAUCUAAUCUCAAUAUUAUUUACUUCCCAUCAAACGGUUUCCACUAUUUUUAGAAUAAUUAAAGAAUGUCAUGGACUAGGAUCAGAAAACUGAACAAAUCAAAUUUGUAUUAUCAAUAAUUUGGUCUUGAUUAUAGAAAAAACCAAGCCAAACCGGUGAACAUGUUAAAUCCACUUCGUUAUCGCUAAUUCCAAAAUAAGGUAAAAUUUUGAAGGUUUUGGUCCAAAAAGAAAAUGAUCAAAGUAAUUUUGGUCCAAACCAAAAAGAAAAUGAUCAAAGAAAACAUCUUAAUUUAUAAUGCAUAAUUUAAUAAAAUGUAAAAUUUUACAUCAGAUUUUAUUGUAAUUUAAAAUCAUAGAGUUACCGUGUUUUGUUUCCGGCUCUUUGAAGCCGAGAAAUCGUUUGAGUAUCCUAACCGUUUUACUAACUUGUGUAGAAUGUUUCAUGCCGACGAAACCAGAGGUUAUAAACUCAUUUUCAACGUUGCAAAGUCAAAUGACAAUGACUACUUAUCAACUUUCAGAAUUUCUCGUGGAUGUGUCUUCAACCCACCAUUACGUCGUUUGUAGCAAAAUGCUUUCUAGCUCAUGUGUUCGAGGUCAUAUGGAUCUAUAGUCGUUCUAUCUUACAUAUCUUUUGUUGCGUCGUUGAAUGAAUUUUCCUUUACUGUAUUGCUGAACUCCUAUUUAACCUUGUAUACCAUUUGAUCGUUUGAAUGAGAUGAAAUUGUUUGACCAAAAAAAAAUUAUCAUCAUUAAAUGUGAUCAUACCCGGUACCCGUAUCUAAAACUACUAAGUUAAUCACAACAAUAUAUUUAGAAAACAUACAUUACAUCAUUAUAUAUUUAUAAAUAAUCUGGUCUACUGUGUAAAUCAAACUUAAAACAAAGAAUACCAUAUAAAUGAUAUUCGUUAGUACAAGAAUCUCGGAACCAUUUGUUUUUUGGGUCGGUAUUCUUCAAGUGUUUGGGACAAUCUUACUCGACAAAUUCUGCAGAAUCGAUACACAACUAGCUAUGAUGAUCUCCUUUUGCUGAUCUCCGGAUCCACAUAUCCUUCCACUACAAGAUUUAUCCUUAGGUAUGUCUUCCAAGCUUCAGGUCACUCUAUUUGGCGUGAACGGAACUGUUGAAGGUGUGGCGACAUCCCAACUCACCCGGAGAAGCUUAUCAAACUCAUAGAUCGGUUGGUACGUAAUCGACUCUACUCCUUUACAAAACAUGCUAACUCUAAGUUCAAGAAUGGGUUGCAAAUUUGGUUUGUCUCGAGAAAUUUGGCAAGAGCUUAUAGAGUUCCAAACAAAAGUUCGGCUUUGAUUCAACUAUUUAUGUGGUUCCUUAUAAAAACUCUACUAAAAGAUGCAUUCACUGUAAACAAAGUUUUUGGUUGAAUAAAUUUUACAUUCAUUUAAAUAAUAAUAGUAAUGUAAGUUCAUUUCGUGUCCGGACAAAACGUGGACCAGCCACCUACGUAUAGUUCUGAUAUCUUGUGUUUUUGUUAGUUUUAUAGCUUUGUUUCUCUUAGUUUACCAUCAUUUUGCAUUCAUGUUUAGGUUAUUAGGUGCAUAUUUGCAUUGUAAUUCUUACUUCUAGGUUCAUGGAGUGGAUUAGAGUUUUGAUGGCAAUUGGAGCACAAUUGGGGUAAAAAGAAGUAAAUCAAGCAAAAAGGAACUAAAGGAGUAUGAAGAGAAGGAGAAGAAGAUGCAUCAGGUUUCUACAUCGACGUAUGGACCCUGAUGCGAGAUGUCCCAAAGACUCCGAAUGCAUUUUGUUGAUACAUAAGCCAUCUGCAUCAUCGUAUGUACCAUGUUGCGAGCCAAUUUACCCAAUGACCCGAAUUCGAAAACCGGAUCCGACCCGCCUGUGAUGGGUCGACCUGGUCCGUUUUAGGCUUCUAUUUAACUGAUUUUAUACCUAAUUUCUUAAGGUUUAGAGAUCAAAAACUUUUCUUAAGGUUUUUUUCUAAGUUUUUGUAUGAAUCCUUGGUUUGUUAAGUUUUGAAUCCAAGUUUCUCUUUUAAAUCUCUUAUCUACCUUCUUUAAUUAUGAUUUCACAAAGAUCAAACCUCUUGCUUUGUGUAAUCAUGAUCAUGAGUCGUUAGUCAUUUAGAGUUCUUGGGUUAAGGUAGAUUAGGAUGGUUUAGAUGUUGGGUUAUCGAGUUUAGGGUUAGAUUUUUUUAAGAUCCUUGCUUAUUGGUUGAUUAUAAAGCUAGAUUAACCUUGAUCAUAUUGAUUUAGACUUUAGAAAUUUCAUGCCCGUAAGGUGUUCGAUGAAAUUCUCGAACCAAAACCUUUAAGUGUUUUACAUUCCUUACCUUUGAAAAGUGUUGACUAGGAUGUUUAGUGGCUAGAUAGACUUGUUUAUAAUGCUUGUUAGUCAAUUGAUUGCCUUUAGAAGAAGUUGAUGAUUAAUUAAUUAGUAAAUGGACUAAUGUCAUGGAAAUCUGUUAGUGUUGCUUAGUGUUCUAUGACCUAAGGAUCAUUGUUUAUUAGAAGUUGUUUGAAGCUCCAUAAUCCAUCUUUUUAUCAUUCCAAAUCAAUUCUCUUUAACCCGAGAAUUUGCCCUUUAAUUAUCGCUUAGUAACUUUAUUUUCCGCUUUGUUUACUUUCGAAUCUUGUUAGUCUUUUACAUUUUACUUCCAUUUGUCUUGUUUUACAUUGUUUAGUCUAAAUUACAUUGUUAGUCAAAUUUAGAAAACCAAAUCAUCUUGUUAGCCUAAAUUAAGCUAUUGCGUGUAUUUCUAGUGAGUUGAUUAAUUGCAAAUUGUGGUUCGAUAUUUAAUCGAGUAAAAUACUACAUCAAGUUCAAAGUUCAAACCCAAUUCCUAAAAUUAUUUUAACAUUCGAAAGUAUUUUUUUAAGUACCAGUUCAAUAACGUUGACCUUUAUGAAACAUGUACACAUAUUAUAUUCAAUAACAUAUGGUUCUAUAAGAAAAUAUUGUAUUCAUGACCGAUAAACAUGAGAUUUGUCAUUUGAACACAAAUGAUUGCAAAUGCUUUAUUAUACUGUACACAUAUCUUCAUUUAAAGCUGUUAGGUUUUUUUAGUUAUUAUAUUAAUAGCCUAAUUAGCUUUACAGUUUUAGUCCGUUAUUAUUGAUAUAUAAUUAAUGAAUUUGUGAUUUUAAGUGUCUUGUUUUCAGAAUUUGUUUUGAAGAUUUAACGAUCAUAAAGAACUUGUUGUCCAAAUUUUCUUAGAAAUCAACGCACUACUAGUUUUGUGUCAUUUCUGCUCUACUAUACCGCCAUCUAGUUUUGUAUAAUCACUUUUACCAAAAAUUAUGAAGUAACUAUUUUUGUUAUUUCUUAUAAAAACAGUAACGUUAUCUAUGUAUGUGCCACGAUGUUUUACAACCAUUUUUUAACUAUUUAGAUUAUCUAUUAUCAUUUUUUUCUUUAAAAAAAGACCUUAUAACUUUAUAUCGACAGCAUAUGCGAUGCGAACAUUCGACAACGUGUACAUUUAGGAAUCACAACGAAUGAGUAGAUAAAAAGUGGGAUCACCUUGGCACAAAUAUUUCCGAUUGACUUUUAUAUAGUGGAAGUCAAAAUCACUACGACCCAUAUAAAAUAAAUGAGAUUGACAUACAUAUAAUAUAAGAUACACAAUGUAUGUAGGUUUUGUUAAAAAAAAAACAAAAGACAAUGUAUGUAGUAUAUAGGAUGGGUGUGAAUCGCACCUGAAACAUGUUCUCAUCAUUCAAAUAUGGAUACUAUAGUUUAUUUAACUCAUAGGAUAGUUUGUUUUACAAUAUCAAUACCUUACCGGAACAGCAUCUUUUUACUUUACACAAAUAUAAUUACAUGAAUUUCGAAAAAGUAAUUUUAGUCAAAUUAUUGUUUAACGGUACAUUUAUACGGCCUUUUCUACCGGAAUUCAACAGUUUGCUUUACAAAUAUCUAGAUCUUCUACGAUAUGGACAACAUGUUGAUACAUAUAUUCAAACAAUAUUUUGGAUAAAUAUAAGUGAAACAGUAUGCAGAUAAAAUAUGAUUUAAUAAAGUGUUACAUAUCAUGGAGAGGAAGUUAGUGGCAUACCGAACACAUGCAAAAUAAUAAGAAAGAUGUAGGCCACUUUCACUCAAUUAUAAUGUAUUAUGGAAGAACAAAUGAAAUUUUAAUAAUGGAGGAAAAGAAUAUAUAACUGAACUUUCUUGGAUAUGCAUAUUUGUAUGAAUUAAGAUAUUAUUAUCAAUGGAGAGAUAUGGGUACGCGUGUGACUUUGUCUCCAAAUAUUUUCUUAUGGCAGACUGGCAAAUUAUUAGACCGUUUCUACAAACUUUACUGGUGAAAAAACAACCCAUGAGAACUAUAUAAAAAAGUUCCCUAUCAAAUAACAUUCAUGAUUGCUACGUUCAGUUUUCAGAAAUCGUUUAAAGAAUUAUAGAUUAAAAACACUUAGGAGUUAAAGAACUCAAAACAGAAGAAAUCAAGUUAAACUGAACACAUUCUCUUUUUCCGCUAGCAAAUCAACGGGAAUGUAAAAUCUGGUUUUCAGUUGUAUAAUAUUGGUUAAUUUUCUAGAAUUUUGUGGUUUAGUUAUAGCAAGUUUUAAACAUAAGUGGAUACACUACAAAAAAAUAAGUAUAUUGUAUCACUUAAAUUGAAUCACAAAACUAAAUGAUAUUAUUUUAUAUUACUUAUAUAUAAAUGAAGCAAAUAUAUAUGGUUUAGCAUCAAUUAUAUUAACUGAUGUUAUAAUUAAUUAAUUUUACAUCAAUUAAAUAAAAUUGAUUUAAUUUCUAUUGGUUUGUAUCAUUUUUAAAAAAAUGAUAUAAAAUAUAAAUUUAUAUCAUUUAGAUAACUGAUGUAUUUAUUAAUUUUUGAUGAGAUCACUUCUGAAAAUGAUACAAAAAUUUACAUCAAUAAAAAUUGAUGUUAAAAUAAAUUUAAUAAAUAUUUAAUUUUUAGAGAAGAAGGUAACGUAAGAAAAAAAAAAGCAAUAGUGAAAACUUUUCAUUGGCUAGUCCAUAAUAACUAGGAUUGAACUUUGGUUUGUUAUCCACCAUUGAUAAAUUAAAUUCAAUGGUUGAGAUCUUCUCCUUUAUUUAUUUUUUUUUUGUUAAAACUUCUCCUCUUUUCUUAUUUUUUUUUCUCCUUCUCUUUCUCCUUCGUAACCUCUUCUCCUUCAUAACCUCUUCUCCUUCAUCUAGUUUCACCAUAGAAGUUGUGUGGUGAUUAGGGUCGGCGUGUUUGACGAAUACAUCUCCGACGACGACAAAUCGUGGUAGAUCCGGUGAAACGAGAUGGAGCGAGGGCUGAAAAAAUGACGAGGAAGUGUUUUUCAUAGUUUGGUACGUACAUGUGGUUCUUCGACGAGGACAAUGGAGGACGUGAUGGUGGGCUUUUGUUGAGCCACUUCAGAAGGCUUUUAUGUCUAGCUUCGCGACGGAGUUGGCAUGCGGAUCUGUGGGUUUCGCUGCACGUCAAGAGAAGGUAGAAGGCUAGAAGCCAUGGAAGGUGGCCGACGUAGGCAGCGGUGACGACAUAACAACUACCAAGCUAGGGUUUUUGGUUUGGUUGGUUUGAUCCGGUUAACACAUUACAUUGUAAACCAACUCUCAUUAUGUAAACCGGAACAAACCCGGUUUGGGAAGAUUAAUGAAAAAUAAAUAAACUGUCUUUUAUUUAAUCUAAUUUAAUAAAAACAUUUUAUUUUAAAUCAAUUCGUUAAUUACUAGUAAAUCGCACAAUUGAUUAAUUAUGUAAUUUCUUUUAAAAAUAUAUUUAUUAUUAAUUAUAGUAAAUAUAUUCGUAAUUGAUCAAUUAUUUUGUUUUGAUUUUAAAAUCAUAAUAAAAUAUGCCUCUUUACAAAUGAUGUAAAUAUAGUGUCAAUCACGUAAUAAUAUUUACAUCAAUUAUUUUAAACGAUACAAAUACUAGCAUCACUUAUACAAAGUGAUUUAAAUAAUUAACAUCAUUUUUUAUAAUUGAUACAAAAUUAACGUCAUUUAUUGUAACUGAUACAAAUAUUAUGUACAAUUACAUCAGUUUUAAAUAAAAUGAUAUGAAUUAUUUGCAUCAACACUUUCAGAGUCAUUUGUUUAAAUGAUGCAAAAGAAUUUUGCAUCAAUUAUAAGUAAUACCAAAAUUAAAAAUAAAUGAUACAAAAUGAUCUUUUUUUUUGUAGUGAUAUCUGGCGAUUUAUAAGAAUUUAGAGAGAUAUAGUAUCCCAAUAGUACUUCUAAAAGAGUUUUUAAAAAAUUAAUGGUAGAAAAACUUGGUGAAUAUAAUUUCAAUGUCUCAUACCAAUAACGCAAAAUUAUGCGAAAUAUAUAAGAUCUAUAAACCAAUCACAAUAGAAUCUUUAAACUUAGAAAGAAAAGAAAACAAAAAACAUUCUAAGUAGAAUAGAGUUCAUAAAAGAACAUAUCUAACUUGAACCAUAAACAGAAACUAGCUACCACAUUAGGCUACUAGCCAUCGUCGCUGUGGAAGUCGAAACUAACACAAUCGAGAUUUGUCUAGGGUUUUAAUUCAGGGAUACGACUUGCGAGAAUUCUCAAAGAACAACAGAAUCAAUCGAUACCAAAGAUGGUGUGCUUGGUAUUAUUAAGAAAAAGAUAGCUUUGAUCGUACAAGAGUUUGAUCGUAAAAAAAAAAGUGUUUGCGCUUUGAGAGCUUUGUGUAGUCUGAAUUCUAGAGCGAUAUUGCUUGCCCCUCUAUGAGAGCCUUGAGUCUCUUUAUAUAGUGAUGAUAAACCGCCUCUCCAGCGAUAUUCUCGGAAGAUUUUCAUUUAUCUUGAAGUCGGCUUAGAAUAUCGUGGAUUAGGAUAGUUUCCUUAUUCUUCGGGGUUUUCGGAAGUUUUUCUGAUUUGAAUUGAUCCUUCGAGAUUUUCCCUUAUCAUUUCCGGAUAUAUCGGAAAUGAUCCUUCUUUUUCGGAAAUGGUGGCUUGCUUGGAAAUGGUACUUCAAGGGUAAAUAUUUUAUCAAGUCUUUGCUUCGGGUGAUGAUGAAGACUUCGCCUCGGAGAACUUGUGCAAUCGGCUCGGGUACCCAGGAAGGGCUGGUUCGGGUACCCCGAGGUGAUGGGCUCGGGUACCCCGAGACGACUGGGCUCGGGUACCUCAAGAUGACUUGUUCGGGUACCCCGAGGUGAUGGGCUCGGGUACCCCGAGACGACAGGGCUCGGGUACCCCAAGAUGACUUGUUCGGGUACCCCGAGGUGAUGGGCUCGGGUACCCUGAGACGACUGGGCUCGGGUACCCGAGCUGGCAGGACACCCUAAACUGAUUAGAUGGAUAACCCGAGGUGGAUGAUGCGACGCCCCGAGGUGAUCUCUGAAAAGUUUCCCGAGGCGCUCUAAGUCUGGCUCGGCGCCAAAGGAUGGAAUCCGACCCCAACAGUCGCAUGAUGUCGUAUACACUUAUGAAUCAUAUGUCAGUUAUGAUGAAACAUGUCCUCGAUCGUAUCGUCAUGCUAUUCCACGUUGAAGACUUUUCUUCAAUUAACAGGAGUAAUAUUUAGACUUGUAUAGUAUCAGGUUAGGACCAUGCAAUCAAUUAGGUUAUGACAAAAGUCAAAUAUAAUGAGCAAUUUGUUCCUGUUCUCUAUGCCGCUAAAUAAAUCACCGGGGCCGGACGGGUUUACAGUGGAGUUUUUUAUAGCUGCUUGGUUGAUACUGGGAAAAGAUUUUGUUGUUGCGAUUCAGUCUUUCUUUCUAAAAGAGUUUCUUCCUAAGGGAGUAAAUACAACGAUCCUAGCAUUACUACCAAAGAAAGCUGACGCGCGGUCUAUGAAGGAUUACCGCCCAAUCUCCUGCUGCAAUGUUAUGUAUAAAUAUCAGGAAGAAUCGAGAGAGAAUUUGUUUGAUUGAUACAUAUCUUUGUUUUCCACUAUAUCUUUUUUCCCAUACUUAAAUUUAAUUAAAUGCUUGCAUCUAAUUAUACAAGUUUGACUUCUCUUUUUCUAGGCCUGGGCAAUCGGUUUACUCGGAUUAUUCGGUUCGGUUUGUUCGGUUUUUCAUUUUUUCGGUUAUUUGAAAAAGCUGCCGAAUUGACCCGAAUAAAAAUUCGGUUCGGGUCGGUUCGGUAUUCGGGUUUUUCGGUUCGGUUACAUGCCAUAAAAUUGAUUCCGAAUUGAACCGAAUUUCUUAUUUUUUCCGGUUAAUUCGGUUAACCGAAAAAAGUUUACAAGCAAAUUAACUAAUUUACAUGCCCAAAACAAAUUACAAAGCCCAAAUUUUUCGGUAGGUGAGGUUGCAAACUAGACGGUGACAGUAAUGUUUUGCCGUUCGAUCUUGCCGCCGCAUGAUGAGACCUGUUUCAAACAACUACAAAUACCACAAAUACUGAGAAUCACAAGUCAUCUCUUAUAUCCUUGCAGUUAACAAUAAUAUAAUCCAAAUUCUUAUGCUAGAAAACUAUAUUAUUCUAACUUCAAUUUUCAUCACGAGAACAAAGAUCCAGAAAGUUUUACUUAACAAAAAGAUAUCAUCUCCCCCACAAAAUGUGAGUCAAGUCCUACACAAGCGCAUAAUUGAGAAAUCAAAAAAGAAAGAAGAAGCAAUGGAGGAAGAGGUCGUUACCUUACUUAGAAAUAGAUGCGGCUGCAACUGGAAGAACAUUAGGCAUAGAGACUAGGGUUUUGGCUUUUAUCUAAUAGGUUGUGGGCUAAUGGGCUCUAUAACAAUUAUUAAGCGAGGCCCAAAUAACUUUCCAAACAUAUAUUUUUAUUAAAUAAGCCCAUAUUGCACAAACAAAACACAUCUAACCCUAGUCCAUCGUCUUCUUUAAUCAUGGCCGACGCUGAAAUAUCUCAUCAUCCUCGUUUCCGACGAGAUCUUCUUCAGGGGUCAUGGAAUCAUGGAGAUGAUGGAAGAAAACCGAAGAACCGUUCGGUUAUGGCUUGCCGAACCGAACCGAAUCAAUAACCGAAAUCCCUAAGUUUUUUUGCCGAUCGGUUCAUUGCUCUUCUCAGGCUCGGCACCGAGAACCGAAAAACUCGGUUCUUUCGGUUCGGUUUUCUCGGUUCCUGCCGAAUGCCCAGGCCUAUCUUUUUCAGAUGUUCUCCACUACAUAACCCUUAGAUCUCUUAUAUGAUAUGGGUGCUGUGGUUGUGGCCUUGUGGGCGUCCUUGUCCUAAAUUGGACGAACCCUACCACCUUUAAAGAACAAUCAUUUAUUUGAAUUAUCCUCGUUAUAGUGAAUGUAGAUUUGUAAAUGCUCAGUUACAUGGAUCAUUGAAAUCUUGAUGUGACAGAUCCUUAUCUACAAACUUUACACGAAAAUAUGUUAAAAUUAAGGAAAUAAAAUAAAAUUAAUUGAAAAUCUUAGUAAUGGUUUAGAUUGUACUAAUUUCUUGUUGAAAAUGUUAAAUUGAGAAACCCAUUACCCGAUUAGUUUAUAUGUCAUUUACUAAAGAACAUUUUUUAUAAAUAACACUAAAAUGACUUUUUGUUCUCAAAAAUACCACUAGAACUAGAUUUUAACCCGCGAUACACCGCGGAACCAUAUUUUAUAAAAAUUAGUAAUUUUUAAAAUUUAAUGGUUAUAUAAUAUAUAACCAAUUUGUGAAUUGUAUCAUUUUAUAAGAUAUUUAUAUUUUGUAGAUUAUAAUUGUUGUUAAGUAACGGUAUACCACAAGACAAUUUUUGUUUUAUAAAAUUUAAUAUAUCAGGAUCAUUCGAUCUGUCUAAUAUUGAUGGUAUUAAAAAAGUAAUAAAAUGAAGAUUAAACCGUAUUAAAACAGAGGGUUAAUGAUGUUUUAAAGUUUUUUUAUUCAAACUCGUCCCGUCAUAUAACUCCGUCCUGCAAUAGAACCGUCCCAUGUUAUUUUAACUUUUUAUAUAUGUUCAAAUGUUCUUAUAUUAUAACUUUUUAUUGAUUUUAAAUAUAUGAAUUAUAAUAUUUAAAACUUCUUAAAAACUCGUCACGUUAUAUAACUUUGUCUACCAAUAUAACCCGUCUAGUGUUAUUGUAACUCUUUAUAUAUGUUUUCAUAAUGUUAUAAACUUCUUAUUGAUUUUAAAUAUAUGAAUUAUAUUAUUUAAAACUUUUUAAAAGUUUAAAAUUUAACAUUUCUAGUAAAAUUAAGCAGUUAAACAAAAAACCUGAAUGAAACGGUAUAUAAUUUUAAAUUUGGAUGCUUAUUAAGUUGAGCUUCUUGUUCAUUUAGAUUUGGAUUCAUUUUGAUUUUAUUUAUAAUAUAAUUAUGAAUCAAUAUCUAAACAUUUUAGCCGAUAUGGGACGUUGAACUCACAUCUUUUUCAUCAAUUGGAUAAUAUAUACCUGUUUUAAAAAUUUCGAAUCCCAAUAUACGCAGAAAAAAAUUGAACUUUUUUUUUAAGUUUAAGUAUUAUAUGACGAUUCGAAACAGUUAAAAAAUGUUCAAACAAAGAUGAUAGGAGAAUUGUAUUUCUAAAUCUUAACCAAAUCUUCUAAAUAUCUAUAUUUUUAAAUAUGGAAUAUCUGGUUCAUAAUUUCCGAUAUGUUUUGACGAGAUCCAAUAAAGAUAUGAACUAUCUGGUGUAAAAUUUAUGAAAAGAAAUUUUAUCGGGUCGGAUACCAAAUUUGUCGGAUAAAAAUUUAACACCCGCUAAAAUUGUACUUCAAAAUUACUAGUAUAUAUAUAAUUUUUCCUAAAUACUACAAAACCAAAAAUAAGCUUUAAACCUUUAAAGUAAAUCCUAAACUCUAAAAUCAACCCUAAAUCCUAAACACAAAAUACUAAACCUAAACUUUUAAAUUAUAUAUAAGCCCUUUAAAUUGUUGUUUUUUUCUUAUGAAAUGUGUAGCUGAUUGAUCAACUUAUCAAAUACAUACAAAAGUAUUUGCUCCUAUGCUUUGAAGGGAGACAUAAAUAGCACUAAUUAAACCCAAGCAAAGAAUGAAAAAAUAGCACUAAUUAAAGAGGGAAUAAUGUGUCCCCGUUCAUUUGCUUCCCGCCCAUGAAGGUGAUGUCUCAAAACACACCAAUGGACUAGUCUGGCCCGUUUAUCAACUCAAUUUCUUUAACAAAAAUUUUUUCAUAUGAGAAAAAGUACAGUUUCUUUAACCUUUCUCCCAUCAAUUUGUUGUGGGUAAUGGACAACUAGUCUGGCCUUUUGUGGUUCAUUGGUGUGGUUUGAACGACAAAAAACAAAGAUGAUAUCUAAUAAAAGUACCAAAUUAACCAAUUUAUAUUUUAGUGACGGUUUAAUAUUUUAUUAACUAGGUUAUGAACCCCCGCGAUAUCACGGAGGAACUCAUUUUCAACAAAUAUAUGUUAUUGUGUUUAUGUAUUAAAUUAUUAUGAUAAUAUAUUCAAAUAUUUGAAUUAUUACAUAAAAUUAAAUAUGUCUUAAAGUUAUAUCGUAAAUAUUUUCCAAACACGUUAAAAGAAUUUAUGAAUAAAAAUGUAAAAUAGAAGAAUUAUGAUUAAAAACACUUUUGAAACAUUUUUAUGAAUACACAAUUAUUUAUAAGUGAUAAAAUACAUAACGAAGAGUUAAAAUAUAGAGAUGAGAAAUUCUAACGGAUCAAAACCAAAAAGACAUAAAAAAAACCAACUGGAAAAUAACCAUCAACGAAAAAAGUAACCGUUAAUAUUUUAACGAAGAGUUGCGAAAAGAGACAUAACCAAAAGAAGUAAUAGUCAAUAUUUUGAUGGAAAGUUACGAUAAAAAGACACAACCGAGAAAAAAUAACUGUCAAUAUUUUAACGGAAAGUUGCGAUAAAAAGACAAAACCAAAAAAAGUAACUAUCAAUAUUUUAACGAAAAGUUACGAUAAAAAGACACCUCCGAAAAAAUAACGUCAACGAAAACUGAAACCGUAAAUAUUUUAACGAAGAGUUGUAAUAAAUAGACAUAACCAGAAAAAAUAACCGUCAAUAUUUUAACGGAAAGUUGCGAUAAAAAGAGACAACGUGAUAUGAGCUUUGGCUAAAAGUCUUGAGCCAAAUUAGGGGUGAGUCACUAGCCGGUCUAAGGACCUCUCUAACUAACUCGGAUAAGAUGGAGAUGGAGGAUGGAUCGAUAAGAACCACAAUAGAUGUGAAAGUCUAUUGAUACUUCUUAGAACACUCAAGAAUUCGGACACACUCACGAAUUAGAGAGCAAAAGAUUUUGUGAAACACAAACAAGCAAUUUUAUUAAUCCAAGGUGAAAAAAUAAGGACUACAACUCAAUGCAUUAUAUAACCAGGUUCAUAACUUAUUCUAAGAGAAAAACACAUAAAUCCUGCAAGAAAAACAAGGAAAGACAUAGCACAAAAAUCAAGAAAAUAAAGGAAAGAGAUGUUGGUAAUAAAAGAGAAUAUUAAGGGUGCCGAUUAAGGUAAGUUUGUUCUCUUGACUUUAAAACAUGAUUCUUCUUUGGUCUUGGAGUCUUCUGGACGAAAUGAGAGCCUUCUUAGAUGCCUUCUAGCACCAAAGAACACGUGGUUAAGUGGACUUCAAGUUUGGGGGUGAAUAAAGCCCAUUUGGCCUCAUUGUUUAUUAGAGAGUCCACCAGACAGACAUUUUCUGUUCGGCCCAUAUCUGGAUAUUUAUAGCUGAUCUCUGGAAGCUCUUUGGUUCUCUGGAAAGUAGACUCAGAGAGCUUCAAUUUGGUAUGUGGCUCGUCUCCUGGAUCAUCCGGAAUCGUUGGUGGUACUUCGUUUAAAACGGCCUUUAGCUGGGAGCUCUCGGAUGAAGUUAGGCGAAUGGCUUCAAACUGAUCUAGAGGGAUCAGUCCUUCACGUUCCAGCUGUUCCACGAAGAUGUUAAACUUCUUCUCUAGGCCUUUGCUCCUGGUCCUAGUCAUUGGGCCGCUUGGUACAUAGGGAGCUUGAAUAAUAUGACUUGGUGGUUCGAUGUCCUCAUCACUCCCUCCCUCUUCAUGUGGUUUUGACCCGAAAACGUUUUCUCCUGUAUCAAAACGAGCCAGGUCAUAAACAUUGAAAGUUGUUGAAACUUUGAACUCACUUGGAAGAUCUAGCUUGUAGGCAUUGUCGUUGAUCUUCUCCAAAAUUUUGAAUGGUCCAUCUCCUCGGGGUGAAAGUUUAGAGCUCCUUUGGUUGGGGAAUCUCUCUGGUCGCAUGUGUAGCCACACUCAUUCUCUUACUUCAAAAAUAACUUGUUUCCGACCCUUGUUGGCUGCUUUAACUCGUUGCUCAUUCGUUUUCUCAAGUCUCUCCUUAACCUUUAAAUGGAGCUUCUUGAUUUGAUCGGCCUUCUUUUCGCCAUCUAAGUCUAAGAAGUCUUUUUGUCGAAGUGGUGUGAGAUCCAAAGGCGUAUUGGGAUUGAAUCCGUAGACCACCUGAAAUGGAGACAUUAAUGUUGCACUAUGGAUAGCUCUAUUAUAAGCAAAUUCAACAAAAGGUAAGGCAUCAAGCCAAUUUUUAAGAUUUCUCCCUAUUGUUGCUCGUAGAAGUGUUCCAAGCGUGCGGUUGACAACUUCGGUUUGGCCAUCAGUUUGCGGGUGGCACGUGGUUGAGAAUAGUAGUUUGGUGCCUAAUUUCUUCCACAAUGUCCUCCAAAAGUGGCCGAGAAAUUUGGUGUCUCUAUCUGACACAAUAGUCCUUGGAAUGCCAUGUAAUCUAACAACUUCUUUAAAGAAGAGAUCCGCGGUUUGGGUAGCAUCGUUGGUCUUAGCACAUGGUAUGAAGUGAGCCAUCUUGGAAAAACGGUCCACUACGACAAAUAUUGAGUCCUUGUGCCGGAUUUUGGGCAAACCUAGCACAAAAUCCAUGGAAAUAUCAACCCAAGGAGAAGUAGGAAUCGGUAAGGGAAGAUACAAACCGUGGGGUUGGACUCUAGACUUUGCUUUCUUGCAAGUAAUACAUCUCGCAAUGAAAGUCUCCACUGAUUUCUUGAGAUGAGGCCAAAAGAAAUGUUCUUUGAGCAUGGCUAAAGUCUUCUCCACGCCAAAGUGACCCAUUAAUCCUCCUCCAUGAGCUUCUCGGACUAUAAGGUCCCUUAAAGAGCAUUGCGGGAUACAUAGCCGUUUAUCUUUGAAGAGAUAGCCAUUAUGAAUGUAGAACGACACGUGACCUCCCUUGCCUGGAUUCUUAUAGCUCUCUGCAAAGUCAGGAUCAGACUCAUAUAAAGGUAUAAUCAAUUCAAAACCAAGAACCUUAGCAUCCAUUGUAGAGAUGAGAGCAUGUCGUCUUGAGAGUGCAUCGGCUACUACAUUGUCUUUUCCCUUCUUGUAUUUGAUGACAUAGGGAAACGUCUCUAUGAACUCGAGCCACUUUGCAUGCCUUCUCUUCAGGUUAGUUUGACCUCUUAGAUGCUUCAAAGUCUCAUGAUCCGUAUGAAUUACACACUCCUUAGCGAGUAGAUAGUGUUGCCAAGUCUCCAUGGCGCGGACUAAGGCAUACAAUUCUUUGUCAUACGUAGGAUAGUUGAGUGUUGCUCCAUUGAGUUUCUCACUAAAAUAGGCUAUUGGUUUGCCUCCUUGAGUGAGUACAGCUCCAAUACCUAAUCCUGAUGCAUCACACUCAAUCUCAAAAGUGUUAGUGAAAUCCGGUAAAGCUAAAACCGGUGCAUUCGAUAACCGAUCCUUUAGAGCUGUAAAAGCCUGCUCCUGGGCUUCUCCCCACUCGAACUCCACGUCCUUUUUGAUCACAGCGGUGAGUGGUGCAACAAGGGUGCUGAAAUCCUUCACAAAUCUCCUAUAGAAACUAGCCAAGCCGUGGAAGCUUCUUACUUGACUAAUGUUGCUUGGUGUCGGCCAUUCUUGUAUGGCUUUGACUUUCUCUUCGUCCACUCUUAGUCCCUGUGAACUCACUAUAAAGCCUAAGAAGACAAGCUCAUUAGUACAAAAGGUGCACUUCUUAAGGUUGGCAUAAAGACCUUCCUUUCGAAGCGUUUGAAUAACUUGUUCCAAAUGAACUAGGUGAUCAUCGAAUGUAGGGCUAUAAAUAAGUAUAUCAUCAAAGUAUACCACUACAAACUUACUGAUGUAAGGUCUUAGAACUUGAUUCAUAAGCCUCAUGAAGGUGCUAGGUGCGUUGGUAAGCCCAAAUGGCAUUACUAGCCACUCGUAAAGACCUUGCUUGGUCUUGAAAGCCGUUUUCCACUCAUCACCUUCCUUCAUUCUUACUUAAUGAUAUCCACUCCUAAGAUCAAUCUUAGAAAACACAUUAGAUCCAGAUAAUUCAUCAAGCAUAUCCUCUAACCUUGGUAUUGGAUGUCGGUAUUUGAUGGUAAUGUUGUUGAUAGCUCGACAAUCCACACACAUCCCCCAAGUUCCGUCUUUCUUUGGUACUAAGAGGACUGGUACAGCACAUGGACUUAAGCUUUCUCUCACAUAACCUUUGUCUAAUAGAUCCUUCACUUGUUUCUCCAACUCCUUAGCUUCCUUUGGGUUAACUCGAUAAGCGGCUCUAUUGGGCAAUGGUGCACCCGGAACCAAAUCUAUUUGAUGUUCAAUUCCUCUUAUAUGAGGUAGACCAGGGGGUAUUUCAUCCGGAAAUAUCUCAGCAUAUCGGUUCAAAAGGUCCUUCACCUCUUUAGGAAGAUCUUGUUCCAAAGCACUAAAACAUGCGUUCAAAACUUCCUUAAAGAUCAUUAAUAAUACCGGUUCUUUACAAGUGAGUGCCUUAGCUAUGUAGCUAGGUUUGAUCAGAAAAUUACUCUUAGAAGAAGAACUCUUAUCUUUAAGCAUCUUAAUUUGAAUUUCAUGCACUUGAUUCGGGGUAAGAGGAGUUAGAUUAUAUUUUUUUUUAUCAUGGACAAAAGAAUACAUGUUACUACGCCCAUGGUGCAUGGUAUCCUUAUCAAAUUGCCACGGUCUACCAAGUAGAAGGUGACAAGCUUGCAUAGGAACCACGUCACACAAGACUUGAUCCAUAUACUUUCCCACUUUGAAUGGUACUUGUACUUGAUCCGUGAUUUUCAUCUCAGCCUUGUCAUUAAGCCAUCGUAGUUUAUAUGGAUGAGGAUGUUUAGUCCGUCCAAGGCUGAGUUUUGAAACCAUAUACUCACUAGCAAUAUUAGUACAUGACCCACCAUCUAUGAUAAGAUUACAUACCUUGUCUUGGACGGUGCAACGGGUAUGGAAAAUGUUUUCUCUUUGAGCUAACUCAUCGGGAUGAACCGUGAGGUUCAAGACACGCCUUAUGACCAGUGAUUCUCCAUACUCAGGUUCACAAUCAACUUCUUCAACUACAACAUCAUCCAUGGCGACAUCUACUUCAUCUUGUGACUCGUAUUCUCCCGCGUCCGUGAGAAUCAUUACUCUUGUAUUAGGACAAUCUUUAGCCAUAUGUCCUUUGCCCUUGCACUUGAAACAUGUUAUAUCACGAGUUCUUGAAUUAUUAGCGGUAGGGAACUUACCUUGGUUAGGCUCGAUUGGCUUAGACUUGAAUCGAUUGUCAAUAGCCACGGCUUUGCCUUUGUCCAAGGGCUUCACUUGGGAGGUUGAUGAAAAAGGUGUCUUGGCACGUCCUUGAUCCCAAUUUUGAAUAGUUUUGACUCUCCCCAAGCUUGUCAUCUUCUUCUUGAUGUGAUGUUCAGCUUGUAUAGCAUGGUGUAAAAUGUCCUUUAAGUCGUGAUAAGGAUGCAUUUCUACUUUAUGAGAGAUCUUCUCAUGUAACCCGUCAAGAAAUUGAGCCAUGGUGGUCUCGGCAUCAUCGUCAAGCUCCAGCCUAUUCCUUAAAUGCUCAAAUUCUUCGAAAUACUCUUCCACGCUCUUUGUUCCUUGAGUUAACUUCCGGAACUUCUUUUGAAGGUCUCGGUGAUAGUAGGUGGGAACAUAUCUCUUCUUCAUAAGCUGCUUCAUUUCCCUCCAUGUGGUCACUUGAGGAGUAUCACUUCUUCUCCUAUCACUAACUUCACGAUCCCAUCAAGACAAAGCGUGAUUGGUAAGUUGAGCUACGGCCAAGGCUAGCUUCUUUUGGUCGGUGUACUUGUAAUAGGCAAAUAUGUGCUCCAUUCGCUGCUCCCACUCAAGAUAAGCUUCUGGAUCUACCCUUCCAGCAAAGGUAGGAGCCUUGAGCUUCAUAUUCAUGGAAUUAGGCCUUAGACGGUCUUCUUCCUCUUCUUCCAUUUCUUGAUUAUUUCUUUGAGCCCUUCUUCUUCUACGGUUUUUUUUGUGGUGGCUCUCCAUCACUUGAGUCAGUCUCUUGACCAUCUUCACGAUCAACACCAUUCUCUUGUCUUUGGUUGCGGUUUGCUCGAGGUUGCUCGACUUGGACUAACCGUUGUUCCAUGGUAGUGAGUUGUCGUUGCAUUGUUUGCAGCAGUUGCAUCAUAGCGGCAUUGGGAUCACCGGUGUUUUCACCCAUCUCACCUGAAAGUAUUUAAAAAUCAGAGUAUCAAAUUCUUUGGUAAGAGAUAACAAAACAAUCGAAUUGAUCUUCUUACUACCAAUCGUAUCACAAAUCUUAUGUGAAUGGAAAACCUAUGAAACUUAACUUUGAAUUUCUAACAAACGUAAAUGAUCAGUACAAACUAAAGACAAAGGUUAACACAAUAAAUUUCAAAGCAACGAAGUUUUUGUGUGUUUUUUUUUUUUUUUUUUUUUUUUUUUUUUUAAAUUAUUUUAAAAAUAGCAAACGAAUUUUAAAAAUAAUGACAUAAAUUUUUCUGGAUUUUCUAGUGAUUAAAUGAACUAAAACAGCAAGGAAAAAAAAAUUUAUGGAUUUUUUAAAUUGAAACAAGAAAAUAGACGAAAAUUUAUUUUUAUGGGUUUUUUAUGAUGAAAUUGAGAAACAAAAUUGAAACACUUAAAAAAGAACGAAAUAACCUGAUAAAAUAGGAUGGUUUUGAAGCUCUGAUACCAAAAAUGAUAUGAGCUUUGGCUAAAAGUCUUGAGCCAAAUUAGGGGUGAGUUACUAGCCGGUCUAAGGACCUCUCUAACUAACUCGGAUAAGAUGGAGAUGGAGGAUGGAUCGACAAGAACCACAAUAGAUGUGAAAGUCUAUUGAUACUUCUUAGAACACUCAAGAAUUCGGACACACUCACGAAUUAGAGAGCAAAAGAUUUUGUGAAACACAAACAAGCAAUUUUAUUAAUUCAAGGUGAAAAAAUAAGGACUACAACUCAAGGCAUUAUAUAGCCAGGUUCAUAACUUAUUCUAAGAGAAAAACACAUAAAUCCUGCAAGAAAAACAAGGAAAGACAUAACACAAAAAUCAAGAAAAUAAAGGAAAGAGACGUUGGUAAUAAAAGAGAAUAUCAAGGGUGCCAAUUAAGGUAAGUUUGUUCUCUUGACUUUAAAACAUGAUUCUUCUUUGGUCUUGGAGUCUUCUGGACGAACUGAGAGCCUUCUUAGAUGCCUUCUAGCACCAAAGAACACGUGCUUAAGUGGACUUCAAGUUUGGGGUGAAUAAAGCCCAUUUGGCCUCAUUGUUUAUUAGAGAGUCCACCAGACAGAUACUUGCUGUUCGGCCCAUAUCUAGAGAUUUAUAGCUGAUCUCUGGAAGCUCUUUGGUUCUCUGGAAAGUAGACUCAGAGAGCUUCAAUUUGGUAUGUGGCUCGUCUCCUGGAUCAUCCGGAGUCGUUGGUGGUACUUCGUUUAACACGGCCUUUAGCUGGGAGCUCUCGGAUGAAGUUAGGCGAAUGGCUUCAAACUGAUCUAGAGGGAUCAGUCCUUCAUGUUCCAGCUGUUCCACGAAGAUUUUGAACUUCUUCUCUAGGCCUUUGCUCCUGGUCCUAGUCAUUGGGCCGCUUGGUACAUAGGGAGCUUGAAUAAUAUGACUUGGUGGUUCGAUGUCCUCAUCACAACGAAAAAAGUAAACCGUCAAUAUUUUAAGAGAAAGUUGCGAUAAAAAGACACAACAAAAAAAAUAACCUUCAACGAAAGAAGUAACCGUCAAUAUAUUAACGAAGAGUUGCGAUAAAAAAAACACAACUGAGAAAAAACAACCGUCAAUAUUUUAACGGAAAGUUGCGAUAGAAAGACACAAUCGAGAAAAAAUAACCGUCGAUAUUUUAACGGAAAGUUGGGAUAAAAAGUCACAACCAAAAAAAUAACCUCCAACGAAAGAAGUAACCGUCAAUAUUUUAACGAAAAGUUGCGAUAAAAAGACACAACCGAGAAAAAACAACCGUCAUUAUUUAACGGAAACUUGCGAUAGAAAGACACAACCGAGAAAAAAUAACCGUUGAUAUUUUAACGGAAAGUUACGAUAAAAAAACACAAACCUAAAAAAUAAACGUCAAUAUUUUAUCUGAUAGUUGGAUAAAAAGAUACAACCAGAAAAAAAAUAAAUGUGAAUAUUUUACUAGAAAGUAGCAAUAAAAAGACACAACCGAGAAAAAAUAACUGUCAAUAUUUUAACAUAUAAAAAAAAAGUCACAACUGAACAAAAAUUACCAUCAAUAUUUUAACGAAAAGUUGUGAUAAAAAGACAGAAACGAAAAAAUUAACAGUCAAUAUUUUAACAGAAAUUUGCGAGAAAAAGACACAACCGAAAAAUAACCGUCAACAAAAAAGUAACAGUUAAUAUUUAAACGAAGAUCUGAGAUAAAAAGACACAACUGAGAAAAAAUAACCUUCAAUAUUUUAAGGAAAAGUUACGAUAAAAAGACAAUUGAAAAAAAUAACCGUCAAUAUUUUAACGGAAAGCUGAGAUAAAAAGACACAAACGAAAAAAGUAACCGCCAAUAUUUUAACGGAAAGUUUCAAUAAAAAGACACAACUGAAAACUACCGUCAAUAUUUUAACGAAGAGUUGCGAUAAAAAACACAUCCAAAAAAAUAACCAUUAAUAUUUUAACGGAAAGUUACGAUAAAAAGACACAACCGUUCAGAAGUGCAAAACGCAUUUAUUGAGAUUGUUAUUUGGGUUAAUAAAACCAAUUUUAUAUGUAGUCUAAUUAAUGUAAAAAACUUCGUAGUAUCACUAACUUAACAAAAAAUGCAAUGAAAAAUUUAUAAUAGAAAGACAAAACUUUAAAUGAAUAAAUGCAACUAUAAAGAAAUAACCGAAAACUGAAAAUAAACUGUAAUUAAACAAAUAUAACCAUAAAUAAUUCAGCGAAAACUCAAAGAGAAAAUUCAAUAAAAAGACACAACCGUAAAAAAAAUAACCGUAAAUAUUUAAAAGAAAGGUUAUGUUGAAAAACCGCAACUGUUCAAAGGUAUAAAAGGCAUUUAUUGAGAUUGAUAUUAUAUAUAGAUUUUGUGAAACCGUACCUUUUUAUUAUGUUAUAGAAACUGUACUUUUUGUAUUGGCGGAAAAAUGGGUAGAAAGACUCUCACCUUUCUUUUUUUUGGUCGUCCAAAAAAACUCUCACCUUUCUUAAAAACAUGUAAAAUACCCUCAACCUUUUUUGUGGGUUUCUAAACCCUCACCUUUUUAUAAGUGGUAAAAUAAACCCUAAAAUUAAUAAAUUCAACUUAUUUUUUAAAUCGUUAUAUUAAACACUAAUAAAAAAACAAAAAUUAUUUAUGAUUACAUUUUUCAAAUUCGAGUUUGCGAUUUUUUUAAAAUUAAAUUUAUUGCGUUAUAAAAAUUUAUUCUGAAUUUAGUUGAGAUUAGGCAAUUUGUUACCAAUAGAAGUUAUGUUAUAUAAACUACAAAAAUUUAUAGGAUAACACAUUUGAUUUUCUUUUUUGUUCGAGUUUUCAGAUUUUAGAUAAAAAUAUAGUUAAAUAAUGAUUAAAGAAAUGUAAUUUAUAUUAUAUUUUUAAUAUAGAGUGAUAUAUAUAUAUAUAUAUAUAUAGAAAUAUUAACUGUUAGUAAAUCUUAUUUAGUUAGGCCAAUGAAAAUAUUUUGAUGUGGAAAUUCAUGUACAUUUGUGUGAUCGAACUAAUUAAACCUUUUAUUAAUAUAAACUCAUAUUCGGUUUGGUAUAAUAAUUUAUAUUUCAUUCAUAACAAAAUCUGUUUGGUUUCACUUGAUGAAUUUUCGUAAUACAACCAAAUACAGUUUCAUUAAUUAACUUUUUCACAUCAUGACUUAAAAAUUUUCAAUUUAGAAAAAAAUUGUAAACAAAAAUUUUAGGAGAAAAAUCCUAAAUCAAAUUGUUUAUAUUUAUUUAUGUUUUAAUAUAACGAUUUGUUUGAAUUUAAAUUGAGUUUAUUAAUAAUAGGGUUUAUUUUACCAUUUAUGAAAAGGUGAGGGUUUAAAAACCCACAAAAAAAAUUGAAAGUUCUUAAUAUGUUUUUAAGCAAGGUGAGGGUUUUUCUACCUAUUUUUCUUGUAUUGGCCGUUAAAAAAAAAACAAAAUCCUCAUUGACCUGUUGAAAUAUUCGUGUUUACCAAAAGAUAUAUAAUCAAGUAGGGGUAGACUUACAUAAGUGGCUACAGAAACAAUAACGAAGAAGGAAAAAAAGAGAAUGAAAGUUAACACUAAAAGACACUCAUUAAACUGUUUUUUUUUUUUUCAAAUGCAAAAUGGGGUGACAUUUCUAAGAACAUUAGAGAAACGUUUUGUAUGGAAAUUGAUGGUGGAAAGGCGUAAAUUUACUAAUGAAAUCCUCUCACAGAAAAAAAGAAAAAAAAAAAGGAAAAAAAAAAACGAUUUAGAAACUCAAAAACAACCAAAAAAACAUUCAUUCUAGAAAGCUUAUUUUUAUUUGCUAAUUGUUGGAAGAAUACUUUGACUUGAUGAACAAGCAAAAAUAAAAUCAGAAUGAUAUCCAGCAUAAUAAAAAGGAUUAACUGGAACUAAUCAAUGACUAAUUCCUGUCAAACAAAGAAAGCUAGUAUAGGCAUGAAAACAGCUUGCUUAGAGAGCUUCCUCUGUUAAGUAAACAAAACAAUUUUCCUCGAUUUGAUUAUCUUUGGUGCAAAGGAAGUAUAGACUGAUUUCAAAAAAAUCAAUCAAGAUAUAUAUGCUUUGAAGUGGACGUCAUGCAAGAGUAACAGCUUGCGAUUCGAAAUUCAUGAAGCUAUAGUCCGUAAGAAUUUGAAAGCUUUAUCGGAGAUUUGAGAAGGAUGCAGUUAGUAUUAAAGAAAAAGCAAUUAAAAAGUAGACUUUUCUCGUUGUUGUAUUCAAAUCCAUAAAAUUAAAAGGUCUUCAAAGAUUGCGCUAAAUAAGGAAAAAAGACUUGAAUCUUCGAUUAUUUUGACAGUUAGAUGAGAAGAAGGGUUCUUUGAAUUAACUAAUAAAGGUAAUCAAAUAAAAGAGUAAUAAGUUAAGGCUGAUUAAAUACGAGACCACAAUGAUAAUAGAAAAAAGAAAAGCAAAAAAAAAAAAAAAACACAAGAAGAGGUUACAACAAUGCCUUUGUAAUAGGGAAAAAUGUCAUUUAAUCACCCAACUUUAAAAUUGUGGUCAUUUCAGACAUCAACUUCAUAUAUGGCCAUUUAAAACAUGAACUAAACGUUGACUAACGUUUGAGACAUGAAAAUUCGUUGACCAGGCCAAAAUUGGCAUACCGUUAUCAGUCAUUAAUGGAACAUCUAACGGCCGUUAUCACCCCUAACGACUAUGUUAGUCAACUUUCAAAUUGUGGUCAUUUUAAACAUCAACUUCAUAUGUGGCCAUUUAAAACAUGAACUAAACGUUGACUAACAUUUGAGACAUGAGAAUUCGUUGACUAGACCAAAAUAGACAUGCUGUCAUAAGUCGCUAAAAGAACCUAUAACAUCCGUUAACAACUGUGUUAGUAUGCCCGAAACGAUUUUGUUUUGAGGAUAAUCGAGAAGGAAAUCAGUAUUUAUUCCAAAUGAAAACCCCAAAUCCUCAAAUAUAUUUCUACAAUAGCCCAAGCAAGACGAACAAUCCUAUUAUCUCCAUCUCUUUCAACUGCAGCUAGAAAGUGACCUUUUAUUUUUCAAUUCGGAAAAGCUUCAUUUAGCCCUAUGAUGGGUCUACAAGUUUGCUUCCAUGAUUUCUUUUAAGAUUAAAAAUAGAUAUAUAAACGAAAAACCUAUAUUUGCUUCCAAUUACUGGCUCUACGAUAGUCUCUAUAUCAAACUAUGUUCUUGGGUUCUGCUUUAAAACAAACUUUUUUGAUUUGGAGAUUUCAUUUGGGAAAAAUCAUGAUUUCUUCUCGAGUAUCCUCAAAACGACGUCCUUUUGGGCAUACUAACAGAGUUGUUAACGAGUAAUAACGGAUGGUAUAGGUUAUUUUAACGACUAAUGACGUUAUGUCUAUUUUGGCCUAGUCAACGAAUUCUCAUGUCUCAAAUGUUAAAUGUUAGUCAACGUUUAGUUCAUAUUUUAAAUGAAGUUGAUGUUUAAAAUGACCACAAUUUGAAAGUUGACUAACAUAAUCGUUAGGGGUAAUAACGGCCGUUAGAGGUUCUGUCAACGACUGAUAACGGCAUGUCUAUUUUGGCCUGGUCAACGAAUUUUCAUGUCUCAAACGUUAGUCAAUGUUUAGUUCAUGUUUUAAAUAGCCACAUAUGAAGUUGAUGUCUCAAAUGGCCACAAUUUGAAAGUUGGGGAUUAAAUGACAUUUUUCCCCUUUGUAAUAUGUAGAGAAGUAGAAUGUCAAACAUCGUGGGAUUCUUUGUAGGGUCAAACAAACAAAAGUCAUAGAUAAUUGUUUGUGGGUCAAACCUGAAUCCAUGUUCAACGUUUGGGUCAAUAAAUCUGCUGGGCCAAGAUUGGGCGAAAGGUAUACAAGAGAUGCAAAGAGAUGGGCCUCUAAAACGCUAAGCCCACAUGUCAUGGGUCUGUUUAUUGAGCUAUUUUAAGUUGUUGUGAAGCUUACUAAAAAAAAUAAGAAUAUGAAGAGCGAGGGGGUUUACGUAGCCGCUCUGAAAGUCUAACAAACUAGAGGGAAGACAUAGAAGCAAAGAGGAAACAGAUUCAUAGUCCAGAGCCUAAGCUAUCCGGUAAAGUGUUAGUUCAUGUAUCGCCAGACAAAUUUUGAUCUAAGCCGGACUUUAGGCAACAAAAUAGGUCAUCAAAUUUUAAAACAUGUCUUAUUGUACAUUUGGUUAUCAUCUCAUUCAUUGAUAAAAAAGUGAUGAGUUCAAGUCUUGCAAGAAUAGUUUUUUUAAUAAGUUAUGUAUUUUUGUUAGGAAAUAAGCAAACAAUUUUAGAAAACACUAGAAAAAUAUUAACCAAAACCGCUAAACACAAGAUCUUAUCAAUUAAAUAUUAAUCCUCUUCAUUGAAAGCUUUUCUCAAUUCAAAGUCUUUGAAUUCUUUGUCUUUUGAUCCAUCGAUAUACAUAAUUAAGAACUCCGAGAUACAAAUCGUUAUUUGUUAAUCCAUUAAUAUUCAAGGACCCUUUUCGUAUUUAUCCGCUCUGUUAAGAACCGUUUUAUUAAUCAAAAAUAACCAAAUAACAAAGAACAACUCUCGACCCUACUUAUAGAGUUGUAGGUCGGUAACAUCAAAUAUAAAACUUAUCUCUUGAGCUUAACCUAAAAAAAAAAAAAUAUAUAUAUAUAUAUAUAUAUAGAGAAAAGAAUUCCCAAAAUAUGUUGCCACCUUUAAAGCCCACCACUAUAAUAUAAACAUGAAAGCCAAAAUGAAAAUAAGUGUAAGAGACAAUGCAUCAGUCCAUCUCUAAUAUCGGAAAUUGUCUUGAUGUAGAUAAAAAUCACAAACCUCACCAAAAAGUCCUAGUCUUCAUGUCCUCGUUUGAUGUUUACAAAUUUUUGAAAUUGAAACAUAUAGUUAUUUACUCCAGCUUAAUGGACCUUUCUCUUGAGGUUUUGAAACCAUCUAUUAUUCAAAACUUAAGGUGCGAUUGGAGAAAACAAAAAAGUAAUCAGAUCUCAAUCAUAUCUGGUCUUGAACUCGAGUAGAAGAAACUAGAAAAAUUGUCCAACCGCUUCACCCACCACAAUAGAUGGGGCAAACUGUAGAUCGACCGGUUAAACGCCAAAAAGAUGGCAAAAGUAGGAAGAAGAAACAUCGACAUAAACUUGCCCCAAAACAGCGGACCACCACCAAACAACAUUAAAACGAAACAUAUCAAGUCUAAUCAACGGAUGGAGUUGUGGAAACCUCCAACCAUCGGUUAAAAAAUGGCUCUCUUCUCUAUUUUUCUCCUUUCUCUCUUUAAAUUUUUUUCUCAACAGUCUCACAGGUUUGUGUUCCAUAAAUAUUUUUCGUAAUUACGAAUUCACCAAUCACAUUUCAUUUUUGCGAAAGACUACAUAGAAAACAAAAGUUUGGUAUAAAAAAUUAAAAGGUUACACCGAAAGGAGAAUUGUCAUCCCACUUGUAUUUGGAAUUAAACUUUUCUUAUAUAUAUAAGAUGCAUAUAGUUAUAAUCAGGCUAAAAUUUUAUUCUGGAUCUGGUAAUAUUAAUUACGCUUCUCGGUUUUAUAAAAUUAAAAAUUAUAAUAUCAAUUUCUUAGAUUAAUUUGUUUGUCAAGGAAAUAUGGAAAAAAUAAGACAAAAAUAUUAUCAAGACAUCCAAGAAAAAUUCAAACGCUUUUCUGUAAUAUCUAUGACUGUGAACUAAGAUCCGGACAGACGAAUGCGAAACAAAUGGCCAACCAAAGACCAAAAUCAAGCAAAGGGAAUGCAAGAACAGUUGACCAUGGUAAAGGAGCAUGCAUUAGAAAAAUAAAGUGUUUCUCCGUUAAACGGGAAAACUCGGCUCAAGCCAAGCCCAUUGUCAAUCACUCUCAGUUGGUUGAGACUCCAUUAAAUAAGAUCAAAUACUAAAUUAGCUGAGAUCUUAUUAGUUUUGGUCAAGGAGACGUUGUAGAUUGCCGGUGAAAAUCCAUCUUAGGCAAACCGGUACGGGUAACUCACCAUGACCGAUCGAUGGCCUCGCACCAACCAUAUUCACAAGCAAGCUUGUAAGUAGCUGCAUAGUUUCAAUGGACCAAAAACAGCCGAACGGGCAAUUCACAGAACCAGGUGGCUAAGAGACGACCACGCAGGUUCGUGAAAAAUUUGUGGUUGAGGUUGUGCCACGCCGAAUCAUAUCUUUUCGGUGGUCGACCUUAUUCGUUAGACCUCAUAGUUAUUAGUUAGACCUGAUAGUUAUCCGAAAUCGUCAUGUGUCAUCGCACAGAGGAUGAUUAGUGUGAAUAUAAUCGCGGUGGAAAACCAUAUCGGACCACUUGUUGCGACGGCGGGACAUAAGCUGUCCUCCACAUGCAUCCCAACCAACUUAGUGUUGAUUUUUUAUUAAUGAGUUUUAUAUCAAGACGAAGAGAAACAGAAAACGCCAUUUAUAGAAGGCGGAGAGUGAAGAUGAAGCUGCUGAAAUAGUCGUUGAACUAGUUCAGAGUAGUACAAGAAAGAACAGAAUUACGUGAAGCAAGUAUUUGGAAAUUGGUAAAGUCGGUCUAUGGCGGUUGGAUGUGGAUACUAGAAGUUUGGAGAAAAUUCUAGAAGACUGAAGGGUUUCUUUUUCACGGGAGAAAAAAGAAACAGGAAGAGAAAUGACAAUUUCCUAAUCCUUAAAAAAAAGGAAAUUGUCUAUUCCUAUUAGUGUUAGAAUAGAAAAUCGGCUUGUUAUAUAGCCACGACCUAUUUAGUAUAAAAAAGGUGUUUAGGCUUUAGAAAAGAUGAGCACAAAAGAGCAAGAGAAUUCUUAGACAUUAAGGUUAUGGGGUUUCUUGUAAGAAAGCAUAAUGCUUAAGGGGGCUAAGGGGUUUGUCUUGAGGGAGUUGUUGAUCGGGUUGUGAUCUAAGAACGAGAGAUUGAGAGAAUAGAAAAUAGUUUAAGGAGAAACCUUUUAAACGUAUUUUCUAUUAAUCAAAAAAAAGAGUUUUUUUGAAGAAACCCGUGUCUCAGUUUGUGACUCAGUUCCUGACUCAGUUUCUAUCUUACACCGUGAACUAGUUUUCAUACAUACGAUAGCUCUUUCGUUUUCAAUUGGUAUCAGAGCGGUCACCUAUGAGGAUUGCAUAUAGGUGAGAUCAUGUGGAGAAGAUGGAGAGAUUUCAUGGACUUGACAUCGGGUCAAGAGUAAUAUUGAAUGAUGGAAACUAUGGUUUUUGGAAAUCAAGGAUGAAGGCGGUUAUAAGAGGCAUUGAUGUCUAUGCUUGGAAAGCCAUAUUGAAAAAGUGAGAUGAACCCAAA
RNAcentral lists this long non-coding RNA (64922 nucleotides) under Arabidopsis lyrata. RNAcentral describes it as "long non-coding RNA (ALYR_LNC002013)". Lineage: Eukaryota; Viridiplantae; Streptophyta; Magnoliopsida; Brassicales; Brassicaceae. The record is from RNAcentral.